Molecule: long non-coding RNA, 54396 nt
Filed under: Lactuca sativa (garden lettuce)
Lineage: Eukaryota; Viridiplantae; Streptophyta; Magnoliopsida; Asterales; Asteraceae
Description: long non-coding RNA (LSAT_LNC000690)
Source: RNAcentral
AUUGUGUAGCCGAUUUUGGUGGAGAAUAUGAUUCUUAUAUAGUGUUGACACAUCUAGGGUUACACCAUGUAAACCCUAAUGUGUCAUGACUCUUCAUUUCCAUGACCCAUGGGUUUGUAACUCCCAUGGAGCAUCCAAUGGGUAGAACCCAACUUGAUAAUCCAUGGAGCCUCUUAGCCCACUAUACAAGAUAUGGAUGAUUUACAUAAUCAACCCAUAUAUUUAAUUAGUUAUCCUUUGAUCACUUAAUUAAUUCCAAAUUAAUUCUUUGAUCAACUAAUCAAAUAAUAUUAUUAAUAUAUUAGAACUUAUAAUAUAUUAAUAAUCUCCAAGUGUUAUUUCUCUCAUUUAGUCUAUCCAAUUGCAUGGUGCCAUGCAACCCAAAUGGACCAUGCCGGGUCGGGUCAAGUACAAGCCCGAAAUAGUUAUGGACUUAGACACCUUAUCCAACAGUCUCCCACUUGGAUAAGUCUAAUAACUAUAUCUCUAGUACUUCAGGAACCGACCGGCAAUCGUAGCUCUUUCAAGGUCUCUCGGAACUGAGAAGAUGAUGGUACGCCAUUUAAGAUAAGUGAUCAUAUAAUCCUCCGUUCUAGAUAUCAGCCGGACAAAUACAUGGAACAUUGUCUUGCUUAUUGUCCAGCAUUUGUUUCCCGAUUUCCGAUUUGUUUGACAUAGAACUUAAUUGAACACAUCAACUUAGUUCUGACCGGGCCCGGUACAUGGGUCAAAACAAAAUCAUCGAGGGGCCCAGAUAUCAGCUUCUAAUCCAAGAAGGAACAGAUAAACUUCGACUCAUAUGUUUGUUCUACCACUCAUUGAAUUACACACAAAAGUACGUUUUAUAACAUCGAGUUACCAAUGCGGUUUCGUACAGUCAAUGCAUAACCAACUUGUAAGUAACAAAUCAUAUCUCUAGGUUUGAAGACUUAUAUGAUAUUACCGUCUCACGAUCACUCGAGAUAGAAUUCCAUGAAGUGAUUCCAGUGAGCGUGGGUUGAGUCCAAUGCUCAGAACUUAUGAGCACUCAUGAUUGUUGUAGCCUUGUCCAAGACCUCUACAACCAAACAUGACAGUCUUGAUUCAUAUCUACUUCCAACAUAUGACCGACUGUGGAGGUUUGAAUAAUAUGUUAUACCAAACAAAAUUAUUCUGGAAGUCAAAACAUGCAAAAGAAAUAUAGUAAACGAUCGACAAGAGAUAGCAACACUUUACUCAUAAAUAAAACACCUUUUAUUCAUCAUCAAAUGUCAAUUACACUUUACAAAUUUCUGGGUUAUCUAACUACUAAAACUUAUAUCAUCCUUCAGCCCUAUGCUCCGAGCAUGCUGGAGAUGCUUAACCCUACUCAGUCCCUUCGUGAGGGGAUCUGCUGGGUUCUCAUCCGAUGAUACCCUCUUUGCCACGAGGAGUCCUUCUUCGAUCCGAUGUCUAAUGAAAUGGUAUUUUCUGUCGAUGUGUCUGGAUCUCCCAUGAUCCCUUGGUUCCUUGGCUAAGGCAACAGCACUUUCACUAUCACAGAAAAUUUCCAUUGGCUCUUUAAUAGCUGGUACAACUCCAAGGUCUCCAAUGAAGUUCUUCAGCCAUAUCGCCUCCUUUGCUGCUUCACUAGCUGCAAUAUACUCUGAUUCACAAGUAGAAUCUGCCACUGUCUCUUGCUUGGAACUCUUCCAAGAAAUUGCUCCUCCGUUUAGGGUAAAGACCCAGCCCGACUGAGAGCGGAAAUUAUCCCUAUCAGUCUGGAAGCUAGCAUCACUAUACCCUACAACUCUCAAGUCAUCACUCCCACCGAGGGUAAGGACCCAGUCCUUAGUCCUCCGUAGGUACUUGAGGAUAUUCUUUACCGCAGUCCAGUGUGCCUUGCCAGGGUUCGCCUGAUACCUGCUAACCAUGCUCAAGGCAAAAGCUACAUCGGGUCGAGUACACGUCAUAGCAUACAUGAUCGAUCCUACAGCCGAAGCGUAAGGUGUUCGACUCAUUUCUGCUAUCUCAGCCUCAGUGCUAGGGCUUUGUGUCUUACUCAAUCUGGUGUUACUCUGGAUGGGUAACUCUCCUUUCUUGGAAUCCUGCAUGCUGAAUCUCUUCAGCACCUUAUCCAAGUAGGUACUCUGACUAAGUCCAAUUAGUCUUUUACUCCGAUCUCUCAAGAUUCUUAUCCCUAGAAUAUAGGCAGCUUCACCAAGGUCCUUCAUAGCGAAACACUUCCCAAGCCAGGACUUUACUUCCUGCAGGGUUGGAAUGUCGUUUCCUAUGAGUAGUAUGUCAUCCACAUACAAUACCAAAAAGCUAACUAUACUCCCACUAGCCUUGACAUACACACAAGAUUCAUCUUCACUCCUAGAAAAGCCAAAUUCCUUGACCUUUUCAUCAAAGCAAAGAUUCCAUCUGCGAGGUGCUUGCUUCAAUCCAUAAAUGGAUUUCUCAAGCUUACACACUCUAUUAGGGUACUCGUUGCUGACAAAACCCUCUGGCUGACUCAUGUAAACAUCUUCAGCCAACUUUCCAUUAAGGAAAGCGGUUUUGACAUCCAUCUGCCAUAUUUCAUAGUCAUGAAAUGCAGCUAUGGCUAACAGAACCCGAAUAGACUUAAUCUUGGCUACCGGAGAAAAGGUCUCAUCAUAAUCCACUCCAGGAAUUUGAGAGAAGCCCUUUGCAACCAGUCUAGCCUUAUAAGUGUGUACUUUACCAUCCAUGUCGGUCUUCUUCUUGAAGACCCAUUUGCACCCUACUGUCUUACGACCUGGUACAUUUUCAACCAAGUUCCAAACUUGAUUGUCAUACAUGGAUUGUAUCUCGCUAUCCAUAGCCUCUUUCCAUUUAGCAGACUCGGGGCCUGCCAUGGCUUCCUCGUAGCUGUUAGGGUCAUCUUGACUUACUAGUGUCUCAUCACUAAUAAGUGUCUCACCUUCUGCAGUAAUAUGGAAUCCAUAGUAAUGCUCAGGUGCACUCCUAACUCUCGUGGAACGUCUCAGAGGUACAGAUUUGUCAAUUGGCUCAACAGGAGUUUCCUCCUCAAGUUGAGGGCUAGAGUUUGAAGUUCCUUCACCGCUUGAUUCUUGAAUUUCUUCAAGAUCAAUUUGCCUCCCACUGUCUCCUUGGCUUAUAAACUCUCUUUCUCGAAAGACUCCUCUUCUUGCUACAAAGACCACAUUGUCACUAGGUCUGUAGAAGAGGUAACCAAAGGAUCGCUGUGGGUAACCGAUGAAAAUACACCUCUCGCUUCGAGGUUCGAGCUUAUCAUGAGUCUCGCGUCUCACGAAAGCCUCGCAACCCCAAAUCUUGAUGUGGUCUAGUUUAGGUACUUUACCAGUCCACAUCUCGUGAGGAGUUUUGGCAACUUUCUUUGUAGGGACUAGAUUAAGAAUAUGGGCGGCAGUCUCUAAGGCAUACCCCCAGAAUGAGAUUGGUAGCGUAGCUCGACUCAUCAUGGAACGAACCAUAUCUAACAAGGUUCGAUUACGCCUCUCAGCCACACCAUUCAACUGUGGUGUCCUGGGAGGUGUCAAUUGUGAGACUAUCCCACAUUCCCUUAGAUAGUCGAGGAACUCUGAACUAAGAUACUCACCACCACGAUCGGAUCGAAGCAUCUUAAUGUUCCUGCCCAAUUGAUUCUCGACUUCCUGUUUAAAUUCCUUAAACCUCUCGAAAGUCUCUGACUUAUGCUUGAUCAAGUAGACAUAUCCAUAUCUACUAUAAUCAUCAGUAAAAGUCAAAUAAUAACGAUUAGCAUCCCUUGUGGCAUGUUUGAAUGGUCCACACACAUCCGUGUGUAUAAGGUCCAACAAACCUUCACCCCUCUCACACGAACCUGUGAAGGGUGACUUUGUCAUUUUUCCAAGUAAGCAUGAUUCGCAACUAUCAUCUGACUUUAGGUCAAACGACUCCAAGACUCCAUCCUUUUGGAGUUGGCCUAUGCGUUUCUUGCUUAUAUGUCCAAGACGACAAUGCCAUAAAGAUGCUUUAUCCAAGUUAUUAUUAGUAGAAUCAAUACACAAAACAUUAUUUCCCAAGUUAUCUACAACAGAUACAGCUUCAUACACACCAUCACAAGGUAAUGCUUUAAAAUAAAAGACAUUAUUAUAGAAAACAUCUAUAGAACCAACUUCAUUAUUAAAUGAAAAGGUAAACCCUUGUUUGUACAAAGCAUGAAAGGAAAUAAUAUUUCUUGCCAUUCCUGGCGAAUAACAACACUUAUUCAAAUCUAAACUAAACCCACUACUUAGCGAUAAAGUAUAAACUCCAAUCUUGGUAACAGGUAUAGCUUUCCUAUUCCCCAUGAUCAAGUUUAUCCUUCCUUGCUCCACAUCCUCACUUCUUCUUAGUCCCUGCAAGUCACAACAAAUGUGAAUACCACACCCGGUAUCAAGGACCCAAGAAUUAGAAUGGGGUGAGUUAUUAGAAAUGAUAGUGUAAAUACCUGCAUGGUUGGGUUUAACUUUCCCAUCCUUCACAUCUUGCUGGUAUUUUGGGCAGUUCCGCUUCCAAUGAGCUUUUUCAUGGCAAUAGAAGCAUUCAGCCUCUUUUGGGUCAGAAGAAGGAGUAACGAAACCUUUCUUGGUUCCACUUGAAGAAGAGCCAUCAAGGGUCCGAGCCUUGGUACCCUUAGAAGAGCUCUUUCUCUUCCUCCCUCGACUUUUCCCGAUUGCCAAAACCGGAGUAGAGUUUUGAGUAGGAGUGAUAGCAACCGACUUCCCCUUAAGACCUGUUUCUGCGGUCUUGAGAAGUCCCUGAAGUUUGCUGAGGGUGACUUCUUCCUUGUUCAUGUGAUAUGUCAUGCGGAAUUGAUCAUAGCACGAUGGUAAGGAAUGCAAAAUAAUAUCUAUUGCAAGAUCCUCCGGGAAGUUCACAUUAAGCUUCAGCAAACGAUCCACAUACCUUUGCAUUUUCUGCAUGUGGCUCGUGACGGAUUCCCCGUCCUUCAUCAUGGUUGUUAUCAUGGAGCAGAUGAUUUCAUACCUCUCUUGUCUUGCACUUUGAUGGUAUCUUUCCAUCAAAUCUUGGUGCAUGUCAUAAGGGUAGAAAUCCUCAUAAGACUUUUGGAGUUCCGCUGUCAUCGUGGCCAUCAUGAUGCAAGCCACUUUCGUAGCAUCCCUUUCAUGUGCCCGAAAUUCAGCGAUCUCCUGAGGAGUUGCAGUGGACUCAUCAAUCUCCUUAAGCUCCUUGUCAAGGACAUAUUCUUUGUCCUCGUAGCGGGUAAUCAUCCUGAUGUUUCUGAUCCACUCAUUGAAGUUGGAUCCAUCAAAGGUGACUUUCCCACACAAGUUCAUAAGGGUAAAGGAGCCAUUAGGAUUAGAGCCAGAAGCAUUGUUGAAAGACAUCUGAAGGAAAGAGGACAAGAUUAGUUUAGAUAUAAGAGAGUCCUUAAUAAAACACCCAAAUGUAAUAUUAAGGCUAGGAUCCAAUCACAAUAUAAUAUAACUUAGAAGAGGUAUGCCGUAAUCUAAGCUAUAUCAUAUUUGAAAGGUAGGUGAAUGACGAUUCACCAAUUUCCACCACGAAAACCGCAAUAUUUUAGUAUUAGGUUUUUGAAUGGUUCUUAGAAAUUCCUAGAUUCUUUGAGAUUCAAUGAACUUUUCAAAGGCAUGUUUCAAUCUCGAGUGUGCCCUCCAAGUUUUGUGACUGGGAUACCGAGGAUCACAAAACGAGGUGUGAAGUAACCAUGCAAAUCACUUGGUACCCUUAAAGUUUAUCACUCAAUCGAUGUGCCGGUUAACCACACACGCUCCAUCGAUACUAUAAUAAACCCUAAGUCACCCUUUACCUACCUUGUUAAGUCCAAGUUAGUGUGCCGGUUAACCACACACGCUCCACCAACGACUUAAUCAAAGUGUAAAGUGUAAUUUCAUGGAAUAGCACCUUAUUCACAUUUUUCCUAAAGUAACUAAGAUUGGGAAUUUAAUAAAACAUUUAGUUACUUUAUAAUAUUCAUCAUACUUUGAAUGAGAAUUAAUAAGUCCUUGUCUUACCCGUUCGGCUAACGACCCUCCACCGAUCAAGCAAGCGGUGGGUGAGAGUGGACACCCAUUAAGUCACCAUUUUAUAGGCAACAACCUUAUACCCACCUUAUAGACCGGCUUCGUGAAUGAGGCGUACUAGCGGUAAGACGACUUUGUUCUUAUACAUAUAUAUAUAAUUAUUAAAUCAUAAUAAUAUAAGUAUAAGGGUUGAAUUUUAACUUUUAAAAUUCUAGGGGUUGGAACUAAAGUUUUAACUUAACUUUACUUGUUCCAAAACUUGAGGGCAAGUUUUGUAAACUUUCAAAACUUUUCAUUUCUUGUAACUUAUGAGUUUAAUAGAGUAAUAAAAUGAGGACUUUUCAUUUUUCCUAACUCUUGUGUUCUUUUAAUGGUUUUUAAUCCAAGAGACUUUUGGUUUUCCAUAACUUGAGGACAAGUUAUGGACUCCAUUAAAACACAUUAUGAUCAUGAAUUAAUCUACCACAUAGGUUACAAAUAAUUCCUAUGAUCAUCUAAACAUCAUAAGAACAAGAAUAUGAAUAUGAACACUUUCAAGAAUCAAAAUCACAUUUAAUCUUUGUAAUUUUGAUAACUAGUUGUUGUAAAUGAGUUAGAAAAGACAUUACACCUUCUAAAAUAAGUUUUCAAGUACCAAAACAUUUUAGGGUAAUGAUUCUAAUCCAUUUCCAGCAACUCAAGUCGAAAUUCUGCACUCUGUCGACCCUACUCGCCGAGUGCAUAAACCUACUCGCCGAGUAGGUUGAAGAUACACAUGAACUCGACGAGUCCUCCCCAUGGACUCGCCGAGUCCAUCAGUCAGACAGCAAGAUUUUCGACUUUCUUCAACUUUUAAGCACAAAUAACAAACAAACAAGCCUAGGCUCUGAUACCACUGAUGGGUUUUGAGCAUUCUAACACUUCCUAAGUGUACAUGCAACCCUAAUAACCUUGGAUCUAUGAUUGUCUAAUUAUCAUGCAAAGUUGAAUUCCAAGGUUAUAUUCCUAUCUAGCAUACAUGGGGAACAAUUUUAACUUGAAUAAUAGAUAGAAUAACUUACCUUGUUGUUGCUUGUGUUCCUUGAAACCUUGUGAGCCUAGCACCCCAAGUGUGAUGCCUCAAAUGCUUCACACAACACCAAAUGCUCUUGGAAAGACUCUUGAGAUAACACACACUUCUCAAAAUCGGCCAAGCCCUCUAGUUUCUUAUUGUGUAGCCGAUUUUGGUGGAGAAUAUGAUUCUUAUAUAGUGUUGACACAUCUAGGGUUACACCAUGUAAACCCUAAUGUGUCAUGACUCUUCAUUUCCAUGACCCAUGGGUUUGUAACUCCCAUGGAGCAUCCUAUGGGUAGAACCCAACUUGAUAAUCCAUGGAGCCUCUUAGCCCACUAUACAAGAUAUGGAUGAUUUACAUAAUCAACUCAUAUAUUUAAUUAGUUAUCCUUUGAUCACUUAAUUAAUUCUUGAUCAAACUAAUCAAAUAAUAUUAUUAAUAUAUUAGAACUUAUAAUAUAUUAAUAAUCUCCAAGUGUUAUUCCUCUCAUUUAGUCUAUCCAAUUGCAUGGUGCCAUGCAACCCAAAUGGACCAUGCCGGGUCGGGUCAAGUACAAGCCCGAAAUAGUUAUGGACUUAGACACCUUAUCCAACAAAAACACCCUAGGACUUAGGAAACACAUAGAUUGAAGGAUAUGAAUCACAUAUAAUUGCAUACUAAGGGUGUACGACCACUCUAAGGAGUUUACGGCCAAAAUGGCAUGACCAAGGGAGUUCACGGCCACGAGUUUGCGGGCUUAUGUAAUUUCGGCCAAUGAGUUUAAAGUCACUAGAGUUUACAACUGUAAACUCAUGCUAUUUUGUGCAUAUGGGUGUUUUAAUGGGUUUUCAAGCAUUAAGGAAGGGUUCUAGGUUCAUGUCCAAGCCUUAGGAAGAGUUUAAGGUCCAAAUGCACCCUAUUAAGCGUUUACGGCCAAGGGAGAUGCUCUUGGCCGUAAACUCUUGUUGUUCUAGGGUAAAGCUUGUUUUCACGGUGUAAAUCAAUAGUUUUAACUAGAUAGUAAGUAUAUAAGAGGAUACUUACGGUUUUGAAGCUUAGACGAGUAGAUUUCGACCUAAAGAAGUUAUGGGUUCUUGAUGUUAUUGAGGAUCUUGAAGAUCUAGACCCAAAAGAUGGAAUUCAUGGUUGAAUUCAAAGGCGAUUCAAGAAUAAGAGAUGUAUUAACACAUAGAUGGAAUGAAUCACUUACAUUUUUGAGGGUUUUGAAGCAAGAUCCUAUGAUACUUGAGAGAGAUUUUGAGUUUCUAGACUUGCAAAUGGUAAAAGUGAGGAAAAAUGGCCAAGCUUCAUACUUAUAGCCUAGAGUUUACGGCCACCACGAGUUUACGGCCGUAAACUCAUGUGUCCUGGCCGUAAACUCCUCAUUGAGGGGUUUAUGGCUUGUUUGAUGGUUUUGAACUUCAGUUGACACAUACAAACACUUAAUCUUUUGAUGUACUAGGCUUAGAAUGUUCAAACGGACUCUAAACAGUGCUAAAUGUUAGUAGAAACAAGUCUGACCAUGACUGAAUUGAAUGGUUGUACAAGAUACAAAUUUUUGGUUGUCACAUCAUCCUCCAGCUAGAGAGAAUUUCGCCAUGAAAUUAGAGUUUAAGCUAUUAAGUAGUUACAAAUAAAUUAAGCGAAAAGAUGAGUAUAUUUCACUUUCAUUUGAUCCUCACGCUCCCAAGUGAAUUCAGGUCCUCGCUUAGCACUCCAGCGAAGCUUCACUAUCGGGAGACGACUUUGCUUCGUUUGCUUGACCUCUCGGUCCAUGAUCCAUAUAGGUUCUUCCAUGAAGUUGAGGCUCUCGUUGAUCUCGAUCUCGUCGAGUGGGAUCACAAGAGUCUCGUCGGAUAGGCACUUUUUCAAGAUCGAGAGGUGGAACGUAGAAUAUACGUUACUAAGUUCACGAAGUAGUUUGAGUUUGUAAGCUACAAGGCCGAUUAUGGAGAUGAUUUUGAAAGGCCCUAUGUGUCUUGGAUUUAGCAUUACCAAAGUGUAUCAAGCCCUUCCAGGGUGAGACUUUCAAAAGAACGUGGUCUCCCACCUGGAAUUCCAAAGGUUUCCUUCUCUUGUCAGCGUAGCUUUUCUGUUGGUCUCUAGAGGCUUUCAAUCGUUCACGAAUGUGAACAAUCUUCUAUGCCGUUUCCCGAAUGAUCUCCGGACUUGUGAGAGUGUUGCCAGGAACUCGUCCUUUACCUAAUUGUGUCUCACCCACCUCAGCCAAGCACAGAGGGGAUCUGCACUUCUGGCCAUAAAGGGCUUCGAAUGGAGCAACGUUUAUGCUUGUGUGAUAACUAUUGUUGUAGGAAAACUCGGCAAGGGGUAAAUGAGUAUCCCAUGCCUUCCCAAAAUCAAUCACACAGGCUCACAACAUAUCUUCCAGGGAUUGGAUAGUUCUCUCACUUUGUUCGUCGGUCUGUUGAUGGUAGGUUGUACUCAUGUCCAGCCUCGUUCAAAGGGAAGUUUGUAGCGACUGCCAGAACCUUUAAGUGAACCUACUAUCUCUAUUGGAGAUAAUGGAUAUUGGAACGCCAUGCAGCCAUAUAAUCUCCAUAAUGUAUGCUUUUGUAAGUUUCUCAAUCUUGUCAGUCUCCUUGAUGGGAAGGAAGUGUGCGGACUAACGAUACUUGAUUAUGACAAAUUCGCCUGUUGUCGUGUUUUCAGGCGUCGACUUGUUAAAGGUAAGGUGUGGGGUGUCACCCCAUAUGUAUCUAUACAUAAACUAUCGCUCUCCCUCCAGGAGACUGGUUAUUACUAUAGGCUAUGGUUGUGCACUCGAGAGGUGUCAACCGACAUGUCUCACUAGCAUCGUUAAUUGAGUUUACGCGAAUAUUGUAUUAUGUUAUGUGUAAUGCUUUCCGUAUAUGUUUUAUGUUUGAAAAGUCCAACAAGUAUGUGUGUGAAUCUACGAGGCCCAACAGACAUGUAGAAUGACCACUAUGGCCCAAUAAACAUGUAAUGUAUAGUCUAGGGCCAAUAAGCGUCUAAAUGGACCACUAAGAAGGAAUAAACAUGUAAUGUUUAAUCCAGGCACAAUAAGCAUGUAAAUGGGCCACUAAGGCCUGAUAACAUGAAUUGUAAGUAUUAGGCCCAGUAGACAUGCAAUCGAUGAAUUUAGUUCGUUUGUUAUUGCAUUGUUUGUUUUAGCUUGGUUGUUUUCUAAGUUGGCAUAAAAAGCCCACCUUGUGUGAUGGUGACCCGUUCUGGCCCAUUAAGCCACAAAAUUACAACUUAGGCAUAUUUUUGAUGAAAUUGACACCAUAGGUCCUUCAAGGACAAAAAUUUACCUUUAUGGGCUCAUUUCAAAUAAAAUGACAUUUUUAGUCCAUGUUGGUUAAAAAUAACAUUUUCGGUCCAAUAUCAUGAAAAUUGACAUCUUCGGCCCCAUUGUAUAUAAAUUGACAUUUUUGGGCCAAGUAUGUAUAUAAAUUAAUGUUUUCGGCCAAUAAAAAGUUACAUUUUCAGCCCGUUUUAGAGAAAAAUGACAUUUUCGGCCCAAAUUUUGUGAAAAUAACAUUUUAGGCUAAAAUCCAAAUAAAGUGAAAAUUUCAGCCCAUAAAACUUUAAAUUUACAUUUUUGGCUCAGAAUUGUGUUAAAUGACAAUUUAAUCCAUAAAACUCAUAAAUUUACCAAUUUAGCCCAAUGAAACCGUGAAGGCCUAUAUUAAGGGUCGUUACGCGAAACUUAACACUUUUGGCCCUUUUUAAAACUAUGAUUUCAUAAUGACCCAUUUUAUAUAAAUAUGAUUUUUUAGUCCUAGUAAAACCGUAAGUAUCAUAAAAAUUCCAUUCUUUUUUUUUAUUUAUCAAAAAUGGUCCCUUUACAAGAUCUAGUUUAGUCUUUCAACAUCGUUAACAUGUAUAAUACUUUCAUCUUCAAGGUAAGUUAUACAAAGUGGUUUAGUUCACAAAUAUCAUCAUGUUUUUGUUAGAGAUUUCGAGAUUUAUGGGUUUCAUCACAAAAUCACAACACGUAACAUAGAAAACACACAUAAACAUGCACAAAUACAUGGAUCUAGCACAUAAGGAAGUUGUAUCCUCCCCAAAAACGUAGUAAAACCGAAAAAUAAGGGGUAUGAACUCACAUUGCUUUGAUGUUUUCGGUUUUUGGUGAUGAGAUGAGGAGAUCUCGGCCCUGGAUGUGUUCUUGAGAUGAUUUUCGAGCUCUAAGGUGCUCUAAGAGCAUAUAUCAUAAAAUAAUAUGGGUUAAGAAGAGAUUUAAGGUGUAAACUGGAAGUUAAACUUUGGAGUCUAACCAAAAACUUACCAAAAGUGAAGUGCUUUGAUGAAGAGAUCUUGGUGCACCCUUGAAAUUCACAAAAAUUAGAAGGAUGAAAGAGGAGAUUUUCUUAUGCUAGAGAGGAAAAAGUGAGAGAGUUCUUGAGUUUGAAGAUGAAAAGUGAGGGUGGUGAUGAAUGCCCUAUGGCCGACAGUUAAAAUGAAGAGAGAAGAGAGAGGGAAAAUGUUGAGGUGAUGUUGCAUGGGUGUAUGAGUUGUCGUUGUUAUUGGUUUGAACUUAAAUCAAGAGUUUGGAUUCAAAACCAAAUAAAAUACAUCUCAUAUGCAUUGAACUGAAAUCAAGAGUUUGGAUUCAAAUGGAUGGUUUAGAUUAAAAACAAAGUAUGAUUUUCACUUAGAGUACAUUCUUUACUGUUGGAUUAGUGUCUAAGCCCGUAACUAUAUUUGGUAACUACUUGACCCGAUUGUGCAUGGUCCUUUUGGGUUGCCUUUACCAAAGCAACAUGAUAGGAUGAUUUAUAAAUAAAGAGGUUUUUAUGAUUUCUUAAUAUAUUAUAUGAUUAAUAUAUUAAAAGGAGAAAUCAUAUAGUUUAAUUAAUAUUAGACAAUAAUUAUUUAAGAAUUAAUUUUGUGGCUAAAAUAGAUUAAUUAAAUAAAGUGGGGUUGUAACUGUCAAUUGUGUGAUAGUUGGUUUUGGGUUGUGGAUCCUUAUGGAUUAUAGGGUGGACGAAAUUAAGGUAUAUGGACACCUUGAAUUCGUCCAAGCCUUAUUCUAGAAGGAUCCUUGGACUGUUUAAGGACUAAGUUAUCCAAUUAGGGUUUCAGGCAGUAACCCUAGCAACUCAACUAUUUGAAGACCCUAACAGCUACAGAAAUCGGCUACCAGAAACCCUAAGGAGUUCCUAGAGUCGAUUUUCUGCCCACAACCUCUGUCCAAAUCAUUCUCUUGCUUCUUGGUAUUUGUAAGCCAUUAGAGGAGUGACAUUUGUGACUAUAUGCUCCAAGGAUAACAAGAUUCAAGCUUUCAAGAAGACGUAAUCAUCUAGAUCUACUUUGUUAUGUCAAUUUCGAAUUGUAUACCAUAGAUAUAGGGUUUGCAAGUCUUGGAUGAAAAGCAUGUUCAUUAGAGAAACCUAGAUCCAAGCAUUAGGAUUUGCAUGUAUACAUAGGAAUGUUCUUAUGGCUCAAACUCAUCAGUGGUAUUAGAGGAUUGAUUGGCUUCUAUUGAAUUCGAUGCUUUCUGUUUUGAUUCUUGCUUAAAAAUUGUUUUUCUUGCUCUCUACCUGAUAAACUCGGCGAGUCCCAUUGUGGACUCGACGAGUAGGAUGAAGUUGACGAGUCCAUAAGGGGACUUGGCGAGUCUGAGCGUUAGACAGAGGAAAUUUUGGGAUUUCUUGUUGUUUUGCUUAAGGAUAAUUACCUAAAUUGUUUUAGUUUACUAAAAUCCAAAUUUUAUUAACUUUUUAUCAAUAUCCUCAUCAAAACAAAAUAUAAUUACCAAUUGUUUAAAUAAUAAUUUCCUUAUUUGAUAAUAAUUAAAUAUUUAAAUUAAUUGUUGAAUUAUCUUACAAGUAAUAUUGACUAGGUCAAAUUUAGAUAAUUAAUAAAUUAAAUGCUUAAUUGAAAAUUAUUUGCUAUUUGAUCUUUGUGUUUUGAAAAAAGUUCAAAACUUGUCGUCAAGUUUUCUAAUUUAAAUGUUAUGAUGAAAAUGUUUAAUUUGAACUAUUUAAAUUUCUAACCUUUUAAUUNNNNNNNNNNNNNNNNNNNNNNNNNNNNNNNNUUAAAAUUUCGGGACGAAAUUCCCUCUAACGGGGGGAUGAUGUAACAACCCGAUAUUUCAACUCUUUGUAAUGACCUAAAAAGUCAAGUAUUGUAACCACCUUGGAGUUAAUAAAAUUAACUUUGAUAAUAAAAUGCCCAAAAAGUAUCUAUUUAAAUUCCUACUAUGUUUAAUAUCAUUAAACCGGGAUCGUACGUAAAAAGGAUGCCCAAAUCCGGCUUCGUAUAUUGAAGUUAAGAUUUUUCCAAGUUCGGCUUAGCAGCAGACAGCUAAAAACUCGAAUCGGAGAUCGAGCGACUUUUGGCCGGAAUGACCUAAACGAGAAUCGAAGGUCUCGACAAUGGUAUUUCAGCGGUAAAAAGUCUGGCAAAAACCGACGUCAGAUAAAGAAGUUAUGAAUUUUUAAAGAAAUUCCUUAAUCACAUCAUUUUAAUAAAUAAAUAAUAAAAAUAAUUUCAUAAAUUGCCAACGGAGUCUAAACGAAAGUUGUAGAGCAUAGUCUCACCUAUGCGUGGAUAUAAAGACCAUCGAAAACGGAGUUCGUAUGAAGAAGAUAUGAUUUUUUUGAAGUUUAUUAAAUAAAUUUAAAUCAAAAUUCUAGUAAUAUCCGAAGGAGGAGUCAGCGUCCUCAUCCGGGUUACGCGCUGCGUAGCCUCGUACGCCCCGCGUACGCGAGGGCCUUGGUCUCGGUCCGUCCAUGUCGCCCCUAUGCGAGCCUAUGCGAAUCCGUCCCAUCCGAGCUCCGGGGCAGUCGAGGACUCGCUCAUGCAUGACGCACGGGUACGCGCUGCGUACGCCCGUACGCCCCGCGUACCGAGGCCUCUCAGCCCCUAUAAAAGGGAUGUGAGGGUUUCCAGAAAAUUUGCUCAUUUCCUCUCAUUUCUCUUGCGUUUUGCCUCGUUUUCCAUGCCCGCACUACCCUGAAGCCCUGGUCAUUUUGCUCAGGUCCCGAAGGUCGAUUUUUCUCCCGAGAUUCCCGAGAAUCCCGAGAAAAAUCUGUUUCCCGAGACGAAACUCUGCCCGAUUUUCCAUCUCGCUAUCUUCAAACUUUCAAGCGAGGUCAUACCCCCUUCAACACACUUUAAAUACAUUUUAAAUGCUUUUAUACUCUUUUAGGGUUUUGGAAUAUAAGUAAACAUACGGUUAUUAUUGUGUAAUUCAUAAAAUUUCACAUACUCGUUUUUAUCAAAUGAAUCACUUAUGAUUUAGUACUACUAUGUGAAAGCACUUGUCAUACUUUGCAUGCACUAGAUUUAUACAAAGUAUUUAGUAAUUCCAAAGUAUCCUUCGUUGCUAAACCGUUUUAUACAUUCUAAAAACUUCUGAUUUAUGUUUUGUCAAACAUUGUGAAAAAGGAUAAACUUUGCAUACAAAACUAUUACUUUAAUACAGAAUUAGUUGAGAAUCCAUGAGACAUGUACAUCUUCAAAUACUGCCUUUUUAUUAGAAGGUAUCCCUACAAGUCUUGUCUAUAACCAGAGUCUCCCGUUCGGAGAACGUGUCAAAUGUGUAUAGAUCUAUACGGGAAGUCAUAAUCCCGCGCCCUGACUGUUAGCUACAGUCCUUCCUUUGGGGUGACAGUUUGUCAUAACGCUACGACGCCUGAAGAACGUUGCUACAGGCAUAUUAUGUUUAGUAUGGUUAUAAAACUCAUCGGAUACACAACUAUUAUAGUACUUCUGAUUGAUGAAUGAGUAGCUACUAAAGCUAUUCCUUAUCUAACAAACUGAAAUCUUCUGAUAGAUUUAUUAUAUAAAUCUAUGUUUAAAAUCUUCUAAAGCAUGUGGAUUGCUUCCAAUUUUUAGUCUUGGACAUUAAACAAACUACCAUUAUAGGAAAAUAUGGGAUUUUCUCGUAUACAAACCAAACAACUAUUAGGAAAAUAAGGGAUUUUCUUGGUUCAACUACCUACAUUUUUCAACACAAAUACUCUCAUGCACUACAUACUUUUAUAAGAAAAUAAGGGAUUUUCUUGGAAAAUAUACACUCAUUUUGGAAUGGCAUUCAAUGUUUCUAAAUCACUUAUGAACUCACCAACUUAAUUGUUGACACUUUUGCUUUGAAAUAACUUGUAUUCUCAGGGAACCGUUAAGCAGGUUUGGAAAUCAACUUUUGGGGAUUAACGCGCUGGCGUUAAUUACUUCUUUUGAAAGAUGUUUAUGCAUUUAUCUUUUGAGCAUGUAAUGAAUACAAUGAUGUAAACAUUUUUAUAACCUUUAUAUAUGUAUGGUGGUGUGUACUUUCCUUUCUAUGAACUGUUAUGAUACUGAAUAUGACGUCCUCCGCCCCCGAACGUUUCCGCCGUUCUGGUUUGUGGGUGUAACAGACAAAACAUUUCAUUUCAUACAAACAUUUUCAUUUAAUACUUAUGAAACUCACCAGCUUAAAUGCUGAUCUACUCUUUAUAAAUUACUUGUAUGUCCCAGGGAUUCAGUAAUUUCAGGUACUAAAAUGCUUUUGAAGAAGAGAUGCUGUGGCGCCAGUUUAAUCUCAUAUUUUGACAUCAUAUUGUAAAUGGUUUUGAACAUGUAACUUUUGACAAAUGUAAACUUUCAAUUAUAUAUAUGAUGGUGGUAUUGCUUUCUUUACUAUGUAUUCAAUUGGUAUCAGAGCAAUGUUUAUAGUGAACUAAGUAUAUCGAACCACAUAAGAUAUACAAACUAUAAAUGCUUAAGGGACUAAUACCCUCUGACAAAACAUUUUUCUUUUGUUUUACGCUUGAGCAGCAUUACGUUUAACUUAAAUUGUUAGUUCAUUUAAGUACAAAUACAUGCAUACAACAAAUUAUUUUCAUGAUUUUAACUAUACGACAAGUAUUUAGACAAGUUGACACUACGAUUAAAACUCGAUAUAUAUAUAUAAUCAGAUUUGGGACAAAUAUAGCGUGAUCAACUAUAUUUGUCCGAGAUCGGACCAAUAUAUAUCGAGGAUUGCUCGUAGUAAGCAACAAGUCAAAACUUACGAAACCGUCACAAGAAUCAAACACAAGAAUUUAAAUACUAUAAGAGAAUUUGCUACAUAAACUAGUUUAACUUACAUGUUUUGCAUGUUUUAACUUUAUUCAAUUCUUAUAACCCUACUUCUCGUACAGUCAAAUGGCUGGAUUUCACCACCCUGGCGACCCCGACUUUCCCAACCAAGGCAAUGGAGGAUGGUUCGAAGAUGAUCCCGAAGAGGAUGAGGAACCCAUAGAAGUGGAUGAUGACUCCGGUACCGACUCAGAGCCGAAAGUGAUCAACCCACCACCGGUACAACCUCCCGUCUUCGUAAGGAACUUUCAAGGACCGACUCCCGUCUGGGGAAGUCACCUCCACCAUUGGAGCCAACAACAAAACCUACGCCCUCCCUACAGCAUGUGUCGGGACUUCUACGAUGUCCGAGGUGGAGGUUCGACUGAUCGGGCACUCCCAGUAAUGGUGGGUAAGCUAGCCAAUCAGUCUUAUCAAUCCGGAGUUCAAGCUAGCCGGCUUUAGGAUGUCAACGUGCAAGUACAGGUUCACUCUUCCGACAUCCGUAGGAUGGACAGAAUGCAAGACAAUGCUCAACUCCAAACCGAGGCAUUCCAAGCGCAAAUGAUUGCAGUCGUCGCCGAAUUAAGGGAACAACAAGCCGCUUUUGAUCGGCGUCUAAUGGAGUCAAAGCAAUCGGAUGCGGAGUCAAGCUCCAAGCGCAACCUACGUCGCAAGUAGUGCUUGCAAGAAUCUCAAAUUUUGUUAUAAGUUAGGACCUCGGCUAAAAGUCUUUAAAUUUCUCAAACUUUGUAACCGGAGACCCUUAUAGGGGUCAAUUUUUCAUGAUCGUUGUAUCAACUAUUAUAUUAAUAUAAGUGGCACUAUUAUUACUACGUUGAGUAUUUCAUUAAAUCCUUGGAAAGUCAUUGAGAAAACCAAAUGAUUGAUUCAUGUUUUCAGUGUUACAAAUAACUUUCAUUCUACUAUUUUAAGACUCAUACUAUCAUUUGUUGUCGAGCUAUAGCAAUUUGGUUCAUAAGACACAUUUAGUUUCUAUAACUAAGUGAUUCUUAUGAUUAUCUUUUCAACCUAUAGUUGAAGGAUGCCUCCGCGUAGGAAUCCAAGGUGAAACAACGGUGGGGAGGCACCUAUACCACCACCACCUCCACCACCCUCAAUUUGAUGUUGUCAUGUUCCAAGCAGCAAUCACCGCAGCGGUAGCAGCUGCCAUGUCACAGAUCAAUAACUCGAGUACUACUGGCUCGGGAACUGGCACACACCUAUCCAAUCAUGGUGAGAGUCAUGUGCAACCCCGAGAACGCACCUAUAAGGACAUUACUAAUGCCAAACCCCGGAUGUUUUAUGGAACUGGUGGUGUGAUAGCUCUGAGGCAGUGGAUUGAAAGGACAUAAUCAGUCUUUGAAAUCUGCUCCUGUCCCGAGCAUAGCUAAGUCAAAUUUACAACUUUCACCCUUAUUGAUAGAGCUUUAACUUGGUGGAAUGGCCACGUUAAGGUACUUACCCUUAUAGUGGCAAACUCCAUAAGCUGGGAGACCUUAAAGUUCAUGCUGAUGAGAGAAUAUUGUCCAUGAGGAGAGAUUCAAAAACUUGAGCAUGAACUCUGGACUCUUGGAAUGCUUGGUAACGACAUCGCGACUUAUACCAACAGGUUCUGCGAUCUGGCAAUCCUUUGCCCAGAUAUGACUGCUCCUGAGAGAAAGAAAAUAGAGAGAUACAUUUGAAGACUGUCACCCCAAAUUAGGUGCAGCGUGUUAGCUUCAAAACCUGACACCUUUGAAAGUGCCAAGGAAUUGGAACAAUCUCUUGUUGAUUAUGGAGGUCAUCAGAACUCAACGGUUGCUACACCAGAACCGCAAAAGUGAAACAACAACAACAACAACGACAAUAACAAAAUGAGGGUCUGGAAUAAAGGGAAGGGUGGUUCUUCCCAAGAAUCCACGAAGAAACAACUGGUCUCAGUGAAUGCUGCCACUGUACCUACUACAGUCCCUACAAAUCCCUACCCAACAAAGACUUAUGGGGGUAAUCUUCCAAAGUGCACCAAAUGCACUUACCACCAUCAUGGACCUUGUCGGGAAAUGUAGUGCUCCAACUGCAACAGAAAGGGACACACUGUCUGUUUCUGCAAGGAUCCCGCAAAGCCGAUCACUCAAGUUCCCAACGCGGGUGUAGGCUAGACUUGCUACGGUUGUGGCGAGGUGGGCCACUACAAGAGGAACUGCCCAAAGGCAGCAAAUAUCUGCGGGAUGGGACGAGUUUAGCUAUAGGCCACGAUGAAGCCGUAGCUGAUCCGACUGUAGUUGUUGGUACGUUCCUUCUAGAUAAUUCAUAUGCAUGCAUAUUAUUCGAUAGUGGAGCGGUGAGAAGCUUCGUGAGUCAAAACUUUAUUCCCUUACUUAAACCUAAACCUAGCAAGUUAGAAAAAUCAUUUACGGUAGAGAUGGCCAAUGGAAAAACCAAAAGCACUAACUGCAUAUACAUGGACUGUACGUUAACUUUAGACGGUCAUUUUUUGCCAAUCAAUCUCAUGCCGGUCCAAAUCAAAAGUUUCGACGUCACAGACGGCAUGAAUUGGUUGAUACUUCUUCGCGCCGACAUCAUGUGCUUUGAGAAAGCAGUUCGUCUUAAUCUCCCUAACAAUGAAACAUUAGUUAUCUACGGCGACAAAUCAAGUACAAACCUUCAUAUCAUUUCGUGCAUCCAAGCUCGAAAGUGUUUAUGGAAGGAUUGUCGAGCAUUCCUAGCGCACAUCGUCGAUACAAGUCAGGAACUGAAUGACAUCAAGAACAUUCCAGAAGUAAUGUGACUUUCCCGAUAUCUUUCCAGAAGAACUACCUGGAUUNCCACCGCAACACCAAGUCGAGUUCAGAAUCGACUUAGUUCCAAGGGCUACCCCAGUAGCGAGGUCGCCUUAUCGUCUCGCACCAGCAGAGAUGCAGGAACUUUCCAGUCAAAUUAAUGAACUCCUUCAAAAAGGAUUCAUAUGACCAAGUUUCUCACCUUGGGGAGCACCGGUCUUGUUCGUAAAGAAGAAAGACGGAUCGUUCCGUAUGUGCAUUGACUAUAGAGAACUGAAGAAGCUUACUGUAAAAAAUUGCUAUCCUGUACCUCGUAUUGACGACCUAUUUGACCAACUACAGGGAGCAAACUACUUCUCAAAGAUAUAUCUACGAUCUGGAUAUCACCAAUUACGAGUACUAGAAGGGGAUAUUCCCAAGACAGCUUUCCGAACUCGUUAUGGACACUACGGAUUUGUAGUGAUGCCGUUCGGAUUAACCAAUGCACCAGUAGUAUUUAUGGACCUAAUGAAUAGGGUAUGUCGUCCUUACAUGGAUCAGUUCGUCAUCGUCUUAUCGAUGAUAUACUUAUCUACUCCCGAAGUAAGGAAGAGCAUAGUCAGCACCUACGAAAAGUCCUAGAAACGCUGCGAUCGGAGAAACUCUAUGUGAAGUUCUCUAAAUGCGAAUUUUGGAUUCGAAGAGUCGAAUUUUUGGGCCACGUUGUUAGCGAGAAAGGGAUACACGUGGACUCCUCCAAAAUUAAGGCCAUUGAGAACUGGUCGGCACCAACGACACCUACAGAAAUUCGUCAAUUUCUAGGUCUCGCCGGCUACUAUCGCAGAUUCAUAAAGAACUUCUCUAGCAUUGCGAAACCUCUUACUACAUCAACCCAGAAAGGCAUGUCCUUUGACUGGGAAGCGAAACAAGAAAAGGCGUUCCAAACGUUGAAACAGGCCUUGUGCACCACACCGAUACUAUCCCUCCCCGAAGGGAUAGAAGAUUUCGUAGUGUAUUGCGAUGCCUCAAACCAAGGACUUGGUUGUCUUCUUAUGCAGAGAGGGACGGUUAUCGCUUAUGCCUCCCGACAGCUUAAGACGCACGAAGUGAGCUAUACGACCCACGACCUUGAGUUAGGAGCAGUAGUAUUUGCUCUAAAGAUCUGGAGACACUACUUAUACGGAACAAAGAGUAUUAUUUUCACCGAUCACAAGAGCCUUCAACACAUUUUUAACCAGAAGGAACUCAACAUGCGACAACGACGAUGGGUUGAGUUACUCAAUGACUACGAAUGUGAAAUUCAUUAUCAUCCUGGCAAGGCCAACGUGGUGGCUGACGCCCUCAGUCGAAAGGAAUACACUGGUUGGAGGGUCAAAUCUAUGACUAUGACUAUCUAUUCCCACUUAUCCACACAAAUUAAGGAGGCACAAAUAGAAGCUUUGCAACCUGAAAAUGUGGCGGGUGAAUCCCUGCGAGGAAUGGAAAAGAAUCUAGAAGUCAAGGGUGGCGGAGCAUAUUAUCUCAUGGACCAAAUAUGGACACCAAAACAUGGUGGUUUAAGAGACGUAGUCAUGACCGAAGCACACAACACAAGGUACUCCGUUCACCCAGGUUCAGAUAAAAUGUAUGUGGAUCUUAAGAAACUGUACUGGUGGCCUAACAUGAAAGCAGAAAUUGCUACCUUUGUAAGUAAAUGCCUUACUUGUGCAAAGCUUAACGUUAAGUAUCAAAAACCAUUAGGAUUACUACAACAACUGAGAUACCAUAAUGGAAAUGGGAAUGGAUUACCAUGGACUUAAUAACCAAGUUGCCCAAGACGACGGGUGGACUUGAUACCAUAUGGGUCAUCGCCGACAGAUUGACCAAAUCCGCGCAUUUCCUACCCAUCAAGGAGACAGACAAAAUGGAAAAGCUUACAAGAACUUACAUAAGGGAAGUAGUGCGACUGCACAGUGUUCCGAUAUCCAUUAUCUCCGAUAGAGAUAGUAGGUUCACUUCAAGAUUCUGGCAGUCACUACAAAGUUCCCUGGGGACUAGGCUACCCAUGAGUACAGCUACCACCCACAAACAGACGGGCAAAGUGAGAGAAUGAUACAAACCUUGGAAGAUAUGUUGAGAGCCUGUGUGAUUGACUUUGGAAAGGCAUGGGAUAUCCAUUUACCCCUUGUUGAAUUUUCAUAGAACAAUAGUUAUCAUACAAGCAUAAAGGCUGCUCUGUUUGAAGCCCUCUAUGGUCGAAAUUGCAGAUCCCCUCUCUGCUGGACUGAAGUUGGCGAUACCCAGUUAGCUAGAGGACGAGUUCCUGAAAGCACUCUCACCAGUCCAGAAAUCAUACGAGAAACAACAGAGAAGAUCGUUCAAAUUCGUGAACGGUUGAAAGCUUCCAGAGACCGACAGAAAAGCUAUGCUGACCACAGGAGGAAACCUUUGGAAUUCCAGGUAGGAGUCCACGUUUUAUUAAAGGUCCCACCGUGGAAGGGUUUAAUACGCUUUGGGAAGCAUGGGAAACUAAAUCCAAGAUACAUAGGGCCUUUCGAGAUUCUUCCUAGAAUCGGCCCUAUGGCUUACAAACUUAACCUACUUCGUGAACUUAGUAACAUACAUCCAACCUUCCAUGUCUCGAACUUGAAAAAGUUUAUGUCCGAUGAGACUCUUGUGAUUCCACUCGACGAGAUCGAGGUCAACGAGAGCCUCAACUUGGUGGAAGAACCGGUAGAAAUCAUGGACCGAGAGGUUAAGCAAACAAAACAAAGUCGCAUACCCAUCGUGAAGGUUCACUAGAACGCCAAGCGCGGACCUGAAUUCACAUGGGAACGCGAAGAUCAGAUGAAACAAAAGUACCCUCAUCUCUUUCUAUGAACCAGUAGUAUCUUUACUACUUUAAAUUUUGGGAUGAAAUUCCCUCUAACAGGGGGAUGAUGUGACAACCCGAUAUAUCAACUCUUUGUGAUGACCUAAAAAGUCAAGUAUUGUAACCACUUGUGAGUUAAUGAAAUUAACUUUGAUAAUAAUAUGUCCAAAGAGUUUCUAUUUAAAUUCCUACUAUGUUUAAUAUCAUUAAACCAUGAUCGUACGUAAAAAGAAAGCCCAAAUCCGACUUCGUAUAUGGAAGUUAUGAUUUUUCCAAGUUCGGCAUAGCAGCAGACAGCUAAAAACUCGAAUCGGAGAUCGAGCGACUUUUGGCCGGAAUUACCUAAACGAGAAUCGAAGGUCUCAAUAAUGGUAAUUCAACGGUAAAAAGUCUGGCAAAAACCAACGUCAACUAAAGAAGUUAUGAAUUUAUAAAGAAAUUCUUUAAACACGACCCUUUUAAAAAUAAACAAUAAAAAUAAUUUCAAAAUUUGCCGACGGAGUCUAAACGAAAGUUGUAGAGCGUAGUCUCACCUACGUGUGGAUAUAAAGACCAUCGAAAACGGAAUUCGUAUGAAGAAGAUAUGAAUUUUUGAAGUUUAUUAAUUAAAUUAAAUAUAAAUUUAAUUAUAAACUCUUGGUAAUAUCCGAAGAGGAGUCAGCAUAUAGGACCGAAGUACGCCCUGCGUACCUUCGUACGCCCCGCGUACUCAAGGCCAAGGCCUCGGAUCGUCCACGUCCCGGUCUAUGCGAAGUAGCCUUGUCCCAUCCGAAGUCCAAGGCAGUCGAGGACUCGGUUAUGCAUGACGUACGCGUACGCCCCACGUACCCUCGUACGCCCUGCGUACCGAGGCGGUUCUAGCCCCUGUAAAAGGGAUGCGAGGGUUCCGAAGAAGGGGCUCCAUUUCUCUCAUUUCCUUUGCGUUCUUGCCUCGUUUUUCGUGCCCGUGCUAACCCAAAGCGCUGCUCAUUUUGCUCAAGUCCCGGCGGUCGUUUUUACUCCCGAGAUUCCCGAGAAUCCCGAGAAAAAUCCGUUUCCCGAGACGAAACUCUGCCCGGUUUCCACCUCGCUUUCUUCAAACUUUCAAGUGAGUUCAUACCCCUUAAUUAACCUUUUAAAUGCUCUAUAAAUGCUUUCUAUGCUUUCAAGGGGGGGAAUACAAGUAAAACACGCGAGUAACAUCGUGUGUUAUAUAAAGAAUUUUUAUAUGCUUUUAUAUAACCAAAUCAUAUGUGAUUUAUAAACUUUAUAGGAAACUUUCGUAUAUAAAAUAUGUUACAAUAGCAUUCUAUCUUUUGAAAUAUAAAUUGUUGUAAUGCAUGUAUAAACUAAACAUUUUCUUAGAUUAUAUGUAUACUUGUCUAUCUUAGGCUCUACAAAAAUCUAUACUUUCAUAACAAGUGAUUCCUUUUCUAGGUAUUUCUAAACAAACGAGACAGACUUUUAGAAAACUAUAAUAGGUAUAGUUUUACGAGGAUAUUGCUAACGUUUACAUACUAGAAACGCGAUUUUCAAGAAAUCACUUUUAUAUACAAGAACAAACGAACAUUUUUAACAUGUAAAUAUGUUUUUAUACCACGGUUUGUGAGACAUUAACUUCACGUACGUUCGAGUACACAUUUCAAGUAAUGUAUUAUAUACCAGAAUCCAUUGGAGGGGGGAGCAUGGUGUUUUUGUAUAGAUCUAUACGGGCUUGACAACCCGCGCCUUGACUGUUAGCUACAGUCCAUCAUUUGGGGUGACAAACGUCAUAACAUUCCAACGCCUGAAGAACGUUGUGUAUAGGCAUUCCGAGUCAAUAGUAUGGUUAUAAAACUCACAUGGGGUAUUAAAAAUGCAUUGAUUUACGAGAUUUUCAAACAUAUUGGUUAUUUUUCACUUACAUACAUUUUUAGAAACAAACAUUGGUCUUGAGAGAAGGCUAGUUUUAUACUACUAGAAAAUAUAGGAUUUUCUAGAAACAAACAAACAAGGACAAAACAUUUCAUUUCAUACAAACAUUGUCAUUUAAUACUUAUGAAACUCAGCAGCUUAAAUGCUGAUCUACUCUUUCAAAAUUACUUAUAUGUCCCAGGGAUUCGGUAAUUUCAGGUACUAAUAUGCUUUUGAAGAAGAGAUGUUGCGGUGCCAGUUUAAUCUCAUAUUUUGACAUCAUAUUGUAAUUGGUUUUGAACAUGUAACUUUUUACAAAUGUAAACUUUCAAUUAUAUAUAUGAUGGUGGUAUUUCUUUCUUUACUAUGUAUUCAAUUGUUACGUUACCACAUGAGGUCAUCCACCCCCGAACGUUUCCGCCGUUCAGGUUUCGGGGUGUUAAACAUUCUUGGCCCAAGCCCAAAAGAAAGGAAGGGUUGACUUUUUGUAUGCCACACCAUUUUUGUUUGUGGGAUAACUAAGCAUUACAAUUCAAACAUCCAUGCACUUCUCAUAUUUCCAUGCAAUUUCACUCUCUCCUCUCCUCUCUCUUUUGCUCUUGGCCGAAGACACAAAGAAACACACACACCUCACAAAAAUUCUCUCUAAAUCACUUAAGACACGUCUCUUCUUCUUCAUCUAGAAAUCUCGAAUUUUGCUUGUGAUUCAAGAGGUUUUCAUCAAGUAGUUCACAUCUUUCGUAAGUUAUCUCUUUGAUUCAUAACAUAUCUUUUUCAUUUUACCAAGAAUCUUCCUUAUGUCAUACAAAACUUGUGAUCUUGCACCUUAGAAACAUCUAAGUUCGAGAUCCUCCAAGAAAGGUUGCUAGGAUCGAAUUCUUCUUCAUCUUUUCCUUCAAAAACAGAAACCACACACAAGGUGAGCUUCAUACCGCUUUCUUUUUGGUUUUUAUGAGUUUUAUGGGGGAGAAUACAAGAAAAUGUGUAGAUCUAUGUGUAUAUGUAUGCUAUGUGUGAUUUGAUGCAUGUAUGUGUGUGAUUUCGUGUGUUUUGUGAUGAAUAUGUUACCAAAAAGGUUGUAAACGUGAGAUCUAUGACAUGAGAAAGGAAACAAACAUAAACUAAGCUAUCAUACACUAAACAAAUCAAGAAUAAUAGCUUAUAAGGUCAUGAUGAUCAUAUUCUAACAUAAAACCCAUGUUUGGGCUGAAUUUAACAAAAAUACAAAAUUUGGGGUACAAAUCAACAAGUCGCGGUUUCUUGAAGGUUAAAAGCGUCAAAACAGUUUCUAUAAGUAUUGUCCUGAACAUUAGAAAUUUCAAAGGACCUAAAAUGUAAAUUUUUAGCAGAAUGGGCUAAUUUUGGGCUUUUCGGCCCAAUAAGCCCCAAAAUGCGAAAAUUAUAAAUUUUUGGGGCUGAAGUGAAAUUUUCUGUAAAACAGGGGGUAAUUAGCAUGACAACAUCAUUUUAUGGCUCAAAAAUGUUUUUCAAUAUCAAAAGGGACCAAAAAUUUAAACUUUUUGGAUUUUGGGUCAAAACUAUAAAAGUUGUGCAAAAUGAGUUCCUAACCGUGAAACACUAUUUUGGAGGAGCAGAAGCUGUCAACAAAAAUAAGUUUUGGGUUAAAAUCGUGUUUUCAUCAAAUAAAUUGUACAAAAGUGUCAAGAAAAGGGUUUUAAGGACUAAAAAUGAAAUUGUUUUAUAUGAGAGGACCAUAAGCGUUAUUUUAUGAAAGAAAGGUGGUGAAAAGGUCAAAUUCUGUUUUCAAACAAAUAAAAUUCAUUAAUACAAAAUACAAUAUCCACAGCUACCGACGAAACGGAAAACAAUUACACUCCCAAUAAAAAAUAUCGUUACAAAACGAAUUGAUUCGGUCUCGAAUCAAUAACAAAACAAAAUCAUCAGACCAAAGCCAUUCGUUAAACACACAAUAACUAUGAUGAGCUAACUUACAAAAUUUGCGCUUGAAAGUUUCAAAUCAUUCUUGUUGGGCCUGGCUAACCCAUUAACAUGAUUUUUGGGCCCAAAGGGAAUAUGCUUAUGUGUUAUUGGGCCUCCUAUGACCCGAUUUGAUGUAAAAGGACUUUCGCUUGCUCUAAUGUGCUAUCGGGCCCUAUUGGCCCUUUAGUACUGCUAGUAAGGUCGAGAAGUCAAAUGCGACUUGGGCCAACGUGUCUUUCGCAUUACCGAUAGCCUUAAAUAACUCACAGAAAUAACGGGACUUCGUACCCCCUUUCUCCUCGGUUGUUGGGCUUAUGAGAAAUCAAAGUGAACAGAUUCAGGGUGUUAAACAAGAGUAAUCAUGGUGGGUGGAUUAAGUGAGUAGUAACGGUCGACGCCUUUAAGGAUCAUUCGUAGUCUGUAGUUAUAAACUAGUCAUUUUUUUAUGCGUGAUUAUAACAACUCACAAACCCUAAUUAAUCCAAUGCCACCCCGGGUAAUCAAAAAUCAUUCGACGUAACGGUGUAACAAUAGAGAAAUCAUUGUAUUUUAUGUAUUGGGAAAACAUCGGGUUUUCCUGGGAAGUUCAACAUUUUCACUUGUGUGAUCUAUACAAAAGUUCAACAAUUAAACAUGUUUUGAAAAAUCAACAAGCAUAUAUUUACGGAUAUUCACACCCAUUUUUUUUCACAAUAAUCUUUUCAGAAAAUAUCGGAUUUUCUGGGUUUUAGAAACUACUCUAAAUCAUUUUAUCAUAACAUUGCUUAUGAACUCACCAACACUUCAUAUGUUGACGUUUUUCAAAAAUGACUUGUAUUCUCAGGUUGCAGGUAAACCGAAGAAUAAGUACCAAGUAAUGUUAGGGUGUUUGCUUAUGAUAUCUAUCAGACAAUUUUUUGUUUUGAAGUUGUAAUGACUAAAAGUAUGUCUUGGAUGUAAACAAUAUAGGUUGUAUUACUUUAAUGCAUGGUGAUGAUUUAUGUUAUGCUUCAUGUAUAUUCAUUAUGAUGGUAAUCAGUUUAAGUCACAACAGCCCUCGGACGUUUCCGCCGUCUGGUUCGGGGGUGUGACAGGUUGGUAUCAGAGCACUAUUUAUAGUGAACUAGCAUGUCUAACCACACAUUGAUAUGCAACUAUAAACCAAAAGAGGGACUAACACAACUCUGAACAAAAUAAGUAAAACAGAACAAUCAAACCUCUUUGCUUGUGUGAAUUAAGAAACAGAACAUAAUAUCUAACCAAACAAGAUAAUGCUAGCAUCUCGGUUAAGUCAGGAUUGUUCAUAGUCGUAUCAAGGAGUGGAUGUAGCUUGAUCAACUACAUUUCCUCCGAGGUACAACUAUCACAUGUCCCGAGGAAAUCGUGAUGGCUAGGGAACCUAAAAACAUACCCCUUUAUCACCAAGAAGAGAACAUCCGCUCAAUCUAUACAAUAAUUGUAGAGUCAUAGGAGUAAUGAUAAUUUAUUCUUAUACCUCCUCUCAGUCGCUAUGGAAGGGGAGCAGCAGGGCAUUCAGUUUCAUCAGGUCCUAGUAGCCCACGGGAGGAUAAAGGAUGAGCCAGAGGUAGAUCAAGCAAAGGCACACGACAAUGCACUUGAAGAGGAAUAGGACGAAUAUGCGAUGGUUGAUUUCGAUUAUGAUGUGUUGGACCAGGAGCCAAACAAGGAAAAGGGCGUAGAGGAGGCGUGUAGUGAACCUUACCAGUUGGAAGCUGUGAAACACGAUAUUUUGAGACAAUAGAAUGUAACACUUCUCAAAUAUAGGCCAAAAUUUUGCUGUCCUAAAAUCAUAUUUGGGUUAAAUAAAGUGGUAAGACUUGUAUCAAGGUUUUCGUACAUAUAAAGAACACUAAAAUCCAAGUUAUAACGAAAAAGUUAUGACCAAUCUAAGAUUCGCGGCAAAAACCGGCAAUGUUAAUAGACGUAAAACGCAAAAUUUCGAUACAAUAAAAUUUAGCCUUAGGUAUCUAAACGAAAGUCGUAGAUUUUGUUAAACCGUGAUCAUGCAUAAAAAGAACGCCCCAAUCUGACUUCGUAUGAGGAAGUUAGGAUUUUUCGAAGUUUUUGACCUAGUAGUAGAUAGCUAAAAACUCAAAAUAGAGAUCGAGCGAUCUAUAGCCGACACAACCUAAACAAAAGUUGUAGAGCCCGACAAUAGCUGUAUAACGAUAAAAAGUCUGACAAAAUCGGACGUCGGAUGAAGAAAUUACGGAUUUUUAACGAGAAUAUCGUGUCCCGACCUAUUAAUUAAAAUAUAAUUAAAAAUAAAUUCAAAAUUAGCCGAUGGAGUCUAAAUAAAAGUUGUAGAGUAUUUUCUCACCUUCGCGUGGAUAUAAAGAACGUCAAAAAUGGAGCUCGUAUGCGAAGGUUACGGGUUUUAGAAGUUCUUGGCACGCACUUCAAAGUCUUAUCCGAAGGAGUAUGCCCUGCGUACCCUCGUACGCCCCGCGUACUCGUAUACAAGGCUCCGGAUCAACCACGUCGACAGACCCUUCGCCCGAGGAUGCGGUAAGCAGUGACGUAAACGAACGCCCCGCGUACCUUCGGAGUACGCCCCGCGUACGAAGAACGCCCAGCGUAAGUCCGAAGUACGCCCUGCGUACCGAGGACCUCCAGCCCCUAUAAAUAGAUUGUGAGGGUGCCGGCUGUUCUCACACAAAUGCUUCAAUUCUCUGUCAUUUUCGCCUCGUUUUUCGUGCCGACGACAUCCCGACUUCCCGGUUUCAUAUCCAAGCCCCGACGAAAGUCCGAAGCCCCGAGAUUCCCGAAAAUCUCGUCACUUUCCGGUCGAGGUGCCGCCCGGGAAAAUCUCAUUUUCUUCAAAUCACACGCCUUCAUCGGUGAGUUCAUACCCUUAUAAUCUACAUUUUUAAAUGUGUUAUCAAUGUUGUUUUAAUAUACACUUUUAAGGGGGGGGGGGAUACAAGUAAACACACGAUUAUUAUCGUGUGUAACUCAAAGUUUCACUAAAUACUCAUUUUAUCAAAGUAAAUCAUAUGUGAUUCAUAACCAUUAUAUGGAAUCUUUCGCACGGAAANCACGAUAUCAUCUGAUAUAUAUUGAAAUUAAAUAUGUUGUUAUACGUAUACGAAUCAAACAGUUUAUUUAUACUUUGAGUACAGGUGUUCAUUUAUGUCACCACAAAAAGUUACACAUUUCAUAACAAGUGAGCAUUACACUAGGGUUACUAUACAAACGAAACGAACUUUUGGAAAAACUAUAAUAGUUUACGACAAAGUUUUUUACAUGUUAAAAACUUUUUAUCAAACUGUCUUACAUACUUUAUGUUUCCUUUCAAACAUCGUUAGAAUCGUAUUUCAAACAAAUGUCCCCUUAUACUUAAAAUUGUUUUUAUCAAACAAACUACUUUCCAACCAUUUUAUAAACUGACAUCAAGUCAUCACUUCUUAUUAUUUAUUAAACUUCUCAAAGAUUAUACAAAACUUCUUUUAUAUUUUAUUUGUCAAAUGCACGCCUAUACAUGUGUGGUUAUAUAUAUAUAUAUAUAUCAUGUAUACAGAUAUAGACAUAAAAGUUUUCUAUUCAGUUGGUUCAGUACCUUUGGGUAGAAAAGGUAUAUUUCGAUUUUACACAAACACUACUAGUAACUAUAAUAGGUAUAGUCAAGAUAUACUAUUUACCGUUCCAAGUACCAGGAAUCACACAGGAUUCUGUCUAUUCAUGAGUCUAUACAAAUACAUUACAUACUAUGCGAAGAGAUACAAUUAUAUACAAUUAAAAGGCAUACAAUCUUAAGACAUACAAUUACAAAAGCCUACAACUUCAAGACAUACCAUUUCAAGGAAUAUAAUUACAUGAAAUAGUANAGACAUACCAUUUCAAGGAAUACAAUUACAUGAGAUAGUAUGCUAGAUAUUCAUAACGUUUUAUAUACUACAAGUACCAUAUCAAGAAGGUAUUUUCAUAUAAAAACAAAUGGACAUUUUCAUACGUAAAUCUGUUUUAUACUAGGUUGUGAGACAGCUUCACGUACUUUCGAGUAUGCAUUAUUAAGUCCUGUAUUAUAUACCAUAAUCCCUUGUAGGGGGAGCGUGAUACUUGUGUAUAGAUCUAUACGGGAUUGACAAUCCCGCACCUAAAUUGUUAGCUACAGUUAGACCGGUAGGUCUGGGGUGACAAAUGUCAUAACAUUCCAACGCCUGAAGAACGUUGUUACAGGCCGUCAGUGUCAAUAGCAUGGUUAUAAAACUCACAUGGAGUAUUAAAAACACGUUGAUUUACGGAGUUUUCAUAUACCUUAGCAAUUAUAACUAUACACAAAUCUACUAUUUUAUGACAUGAAAACAUCAUGGUAGUUCAUUUUGGGUCUUUAAAAACUACCACCCACUUAUAAACAAAUAUUGGAUUUCUGAAACAAACAUUUAAAACAGUCGAGCCUUGGUAGAAGGCUACACUUUAUACUAGUAGAAAAUAUGGGAUUUUCUAGGAGUUUCAAACGUUUACAAUUACUUACAAACAUAUUCGUUGGUACAAACUUUCUUUCAAACAAUUACAUGUCUUUCUUUACAGCUUUACAAAUCAAAGUCACAUAAAUUCUUAUGAACUCACCAGCAUUAUUGCUGAUACUCGCUUUCAAAAUAACUUGUAUUCCCAGGAUACGGAUAGACAGGUAUGACUACCAGGUUCUGUGAAAACGGAGCGAUCAAGACUCAUCUUUUAUUUUUGAAUAUUCAUUUUUGUAGAAUUAUACUAUGAAAGAACUCAAAUGUAAUUACAAUUAUACUAUUAAUGCAAUGGAUGAUGUUGUUGCUUGUUUACUACUUUGCAUUGUUGUGAUACAUUAAAUGACGUCCUCCGCCCCAGAACGUUUCCGCCGUUCUCGGUUUUGGGGUGUCACAGAAGCGUCGUAAAAUUUCUGCAUGUUUCAAGGGGUGGAUACAGACUACUUACGCGCUCUCGAGGAGGCAGUUAUCAACCUGAAGCUUCAACUCAUCAUGGCCAAGGCAAGGGUUGCGCGAGCCGAGUGAAAAGUAGAGGUAAUCACCCAAGAGGCGUAUGAACUGGCUGAACUUCUGGUGCGCCACCUCGACGAUUGAGCGUCGUCGUCAUCCUUACUAAUAGGACCUGCUCUACUACCUACUAUAUAGAACCCACCAUGACUAGGGUAAGCUGUAUCAGUCCUUAGUACUAGUACUAUUAUCUAUGAUGUGUACCAUCAACUCUAUGUUUAAGUGAUUACACUACUCAUAGAGCCGUUAUGCUGCCGAACUUAAACCGCUUAGGAACGCUCUUUCGAGCAAAAAAUUUCAUGUAUCAAAGUGCAAAUAAUAUUAGUGAAAAAUUUUAUAUGUUUACUGUGAUGUUAUAAUCUGUUGUGUGUUACAUAUCCACGAUUGUGUGCUAAUUUGUGAAAUUACUUAAUUUCGUGCCAUGCACCUAGAUUAUAGGAUCACAAUCUCAGAAAAAGCACAAUCACUCAAAAUCUUUCCGUUCCAUGGCAGAAACGUGCCUCGAUGACCAACCCGCGGAAACCCUGAGCCAAACCCGCUCGACUACAACUCUGUUGCUUUUCAGGCAGCGGUAUCGGCUGCAGUCACUACGGCUAUGGUACAAAUUUACCAAGGGAACAAUGGAGGGGUCAACGGACCAGGGGCUGGAAGUUCGAACAACGGGAUGAAUCAAGAACCUACCAACACAUGCUCCUACAAGGACUUCACCAACGCCAAACCACGAACCUUUAACGGCACUAGAGGGACGAUUACCCUGAAACGAUGGAUCGAGAAGGUGGAAUCGGUGUUCGAGAUAUGUGAAUGCCCUGAGGAGAUGAAGGUGAAGUUUGCCGCAUGCACUCUUGUUGACCAAGCGCUCACUUGGUGGAACGAACAUGUGGAAGCCAUGACACUCCCCGUAGCUAAUUCCAUGCCAUGGACAGAGAUGAAUGAAAUGCGGAUGGCCGAAUACUGCCCUCAUGGAGAAAUUCAGAAAAUGGAACAAGAGCUGUGGAAUCUCACCGUCCGAAACGCAGAUAUAGAUGCAUACAUAUCAAGGUUUAGUGAACUGUCUCUGCUAUGCCCUGGCAUGAUUACCACAGAAGGAAAGAAGAUCGAGCGAUUAAUCUGGGGACUAACCUCCCCGAUCCAAGGAAACGUGAUAGCUGCAAAUCCCGAAACUUUCAACAGUGCCAAGAGAUUGGCCAAGAAGCUGUAUCACCAGAACAACAAGAAGGGUGAGAAGCCAGUGGAGGCUGAAUUUAAGAAGGACAAUGACAACAAAAAGGGAAAGAACAAUAAGAGGAACGAACGUCAACGCUCUGAAUCAUCCAAGAAGCAGCAAACAGUGGAAGUUAAUGUUGCAAUCACUCAAGUUCCACCUGCACCACAUGCUCCAGCCUCAGCUGCUCCAAGUGCCCCUAUGCCUUAUUCCGAUAAUCUUCCCAAGUGAAACAAGUGCUGUCUCCAUCAUAAUGGAGAAUGCACGGAGAUGCAGUACACCAGUUGCAAUCGGAAGGGCACACGACAAAGUAUUGCAGAACCUACCCUCCUCAGAAGCAACAACAGGGAAACAACAACAACAAUAACUGCAACAACAACAACACCGACAAUGGCGGCAACAAUGUAGGACCAAGCCACAACUACUAUGGAUGUGGAAGGACUGGGCAUUUCCGUCGAAAUUGCCCCAACAACAACAAUCCCAGAAAUGGAGGAACAGGAAGGGUGCUAACCAUGGGACAUGGAAAACGGUUUAGGAUCCCGCUGUCGUUACCGGUACGUUACUCCUAAACCACACUUAUGCGUGCAUCCUAUUUGAUACCGGAGCGGAACAAAGUUUUGUGAGCGAUAAAUUUAAACAUUUAUUAAAACAGCAACCCCAGAAGCUCAAUGAAACCUUUACGGUCGAAAUGGCCAAUGGGAAGGCAGAAUCCACUGGGGAGAUCUAUAUCGGAUGUACCCUAACCCUAAAUCAACACGUCUUUCGAAUAAACUUAAUGCCUGUUUCCAUUAGGAGUUUUGAUGUGAUUAUUGGCAUGGACUGGUUAAGCCCCCACCAUGCUGAAAUUAUGUGUCACGAGAAGGCCGUUCGCCUUCACCUUCCAAAUCAUGAAACCCUAGUUACUUACGGAGACAAACCCAGCACGAAUCUUCAUCUCAUCCCGUGCGUCCAGGCACAGAAGCAUCUACGAAAGAAAGAUUUGACGUUCCUGGCGCACAUAGUGGAUAAAUCCAAUAAAGAGAUUAACAUUCAUGACAUUCUUGUAGCUUGUGAAUUCCCAAACAUCUUUCCUGAAGAUCUUCCUGGAGUACCCCCAGAAAGACAAAUUGAGUUUCGAAUUAACCUGGUGCCAGAAGCUACUCCCAUUGCUAAAUCACCUUACAGAUUGGCUCCUGCUGAGAUGCAGGAACUGUCCAGCCAACUCAGUGAACUCCUGGACAAGGGAUUCAUCCGACCCAGUUUCUCGCCUUAGGGGAGCUCCAGUUCUCUUUGUCAAAAAGAAGGACGAAUAUUUUAGGAUGUAUAUCGAUUACAGGGAACUCAAUAAGCUCACUAUCAAAAACCGCUAUCCACUCCCACGAAUCGACGAUUUAUUUGACCAGCUCCAAGGAGCUAGUUACUUCUCUAAGAUAGAUAUGUGAUCCGGGUACCAUCAACUCAAGGUCCGGGAAGAGGAUAUUCCCUAAACCGCUUUCCAAACUCGAUACAGACAUUAUGAAUUUGUCGUGAUGCCCUUCGGUCUAACGAAUUCUCCUGCCGCAUUCAUGGACCUAAUGAAUCGAAUUUGCCGACCAUUCCUCGACAACAUUGUUACUGUUUUCAUUGACGACAUUCUAGUUUAUUCCCGAAGCAAAGAAGAGCAUGGCCAACAUCUCCGACAAAUCCUGGAAACCCUACGAACUGAGAAACUAUAUACAAAACUCUCCAAGUGUGAGUUCUGGCUCCGUAGUGUGAACUUUUUGGGUCAUGUUGUGAGUCAGGAAGGAAUACAUGUGGAUCCUUCUAAGGUCAAAACCAUCGAAGGAUGGGCAGUCCCAACAACACCCACAUAAAUUCGCCAAUUCUUAGGUCUAGCAGGUUAAUACAGGAGGUUCAUUCAAAACUUCUCUAAGACCGCCAAGCCACUUACCUCCCUUACACAAAAGGGCGUACCCUUCAAUUGGACGGACAAACAAGAAGUUGCAUUCCGAACUCUGAAGCAAGCACUCUGCAGUGCCCCGGUACUAUCACUACCAGAGGGAACAAAAGAUUUUGUAGUCUAUAGUGACGCAUCAAAUCAGGGUUUAGGUUGCGUUCUCAUGCAGCGUGGAAAGGUGGUUGCUUACGCGUCCCGGUAGCUAAAGGCACACGAAGUAAAUUAUACAACUCACGGUCUAGAAUUGGGAGUAGUGGUCUUCACCCUGAAGAUUUGGAGGCACUACCUUUAUGGUACAAAGUGCACCAUUUUCACGGACCACAAGAGUCUCCAGCACAUCUUGAAUCAAAAAGAGCUGAAUAUGAGGCAAUGAAGAUGGGUUGAACUAUUAAACGAUUAUGAGUGUGAAAUCAAAUACCACCCAGGCAAGGCUAACGUGGUAGCCGAUGCUUUGAGUCGGAAAGAGUACUCUAAUUGUUGUGUGAAACUCUCUCAAUAACCAUCCAGUCUCACCUAACCACUCAGAUCAGGGCAGCACAGUCAGAUGCUAUGAAGGCGGAAAACAGAACAAGCAAAGCGUUACGCCGAAUGGAGAAGAAUCUCGAGGUGAAAGAGGGCAGAGUAUAUUAUUUCAUGAACCGUAUUUGGGUCCCUAAAAUUGGAGGAUUUAGGGAGGUAGUCAUGAAUGAAGCUCACAAGACGUGAUACUCCAUCCAUCCGGGUUCAGACAAAAUGUACUUGGAUAUUAAACAACAUUAUUGGUGGCCUGACAUGAAGGCAAAGAUUGCCACCUAUGUUAGCAAAUGUCGUACUUGCGCCAAAGUAAAUGUGGAAUACCAGAAGCCCUCGGGGUUAUUACAACAACUAGUAAUUCCCGAGUGGAAAUGGGAAAGGAUUACUACCGAUUUUGUGACCAAGCUACCCAAGUCGUCAGAUGGAUUCGACACUAUAUGGGUAAUAGUCAACCGACUGACUAAAUCCGCUCAUUUCCUGCCAAUAAAAGAAUCCUACAAGAUGGAGAGAUUGACAAGAAUAUACAUUCGAGAAAUCGUGAGACUUCACGGAGUGCCAGUGUCUAUCAUCUCAGAUAGAGAUAGUAGGUNUAAGGUGUCUAAGUCCAUAACUAUUUCGGGCUUGUACUUGACCCGACCCGGCAUGGUCCAUUUGGGUUGCAUGGCACCAUGCAAUUGGAUAGACUAAAUGAGAGAAAUAACACUUGGAGAUUAUUAAUAUAUUAUAAGUUCUAAUAUAUUAAUAAUAUUAUUUGAUUAGUUGAUCAAAGAAUUAAUUUGGAAUUAAUUAAGUGAUCAAAGGAUAACUAAUUAAAUAUAUGGGUUGAUUAUGUAAAUCAUCCAUAUCUUGUAUAGUGGGCUAAGAGGCUCCAUGGAUUAUCAAGUUGGGUUCUACCCAUAGGAUGCUCCAUGGAUGCUCCAUGGGAGUUACAAACCCAUGGGUCAUGGAAAUGAAGAGUCAUGACACAUUAGGGUUUACAUGGUGUAACCCUAGAUGUGUCAACACUAUAUAAGAAUCCCAUUCUCCACCAAAAUCGGCUACACAUAAGAAACUAGAGGGCUUGGCCGAUUUUAAGAAGUGUGUAUUAUCUCAAAGGUCUUUCCAAGAGCAUUUGGUGUUGUGUGAAGCAUUUGAGGCAUCACACUUGGGGUGCUAGGCUCACAAGGUUUCAAGGAACAUAAGCAACAACAAGGUAAGUUAUUCUAUCUUUCAUUCAAGUUAAAAUUGUUCCCCAUGUAUGCUAGAUAGGAAUAUAACCUUGGAAAUUCAACUUUGCAUGGUAAUUAGACAAACAUAGAUCCAAGGUUAUUAGGGUUGCAUGUACACUUAGGAAGUGUUAGAAUGCUCAAAACCCAUCAGUAGGUUCACUUCACGUUUAUGGCAAUCAGUUCAGAAAGCAUUGGGAACCCAUCUCGACAUGAGCACUGCUUAUCACCCACAAACGGAUGGUCAAAGAGAACAAACCAUUCAGACGCUUGAAGACAUUCUUCAUGCAUGUGUGAUAGAUUUUGUGAAGUCCUGGGAUACCUACUUACCCUUAGUUGAAUUCUCAUAGAACAACAGUUACCAUUCGAGCAUCAAAGUUGCUCCUUUCGAGGCACUAUAUGGACGUAAGUGUAGAUCACUGGUGUGUUGGGCUGAGGUGGGCGACACCCAGCUAGCGAGGGAACUAGCAUCAGACAAGACGUUAAUGGGACCGUAGAUCAUACUUGAAACCACGGAAAAGAUAGUUGAAAUCAGAUCUUGACUACAAGCAUCAAGCGACCGACAGAAGAGCUAUGCAGAUAAACGACGAAAGCCCUUGGAGUUUCAGGUCGGGGAUCGAGUGUUGUUAAAAGUUUCACCUGGAAAAGGGUUAUUCGUUUUGGAAAACGGGGAAAAUUGAAUCCAUGAUACAUUGGACCUUUCGAGAUACUUGCCCGAAUUGGUCCAGUGGCGUACCGACUGCAGCUACCGGCUGAGCUCAGCAGUGUACACCCCGUGUUCCAUGUUUCCAAUCUAAAGAAGUGCAUAUCCAAUGAAACUUGCGUCAUUCCCUUUGAGGAAAUUGAAAUCAACGAGAAUAUCCUGUUCGUAGAUGAACCAAUCGAAAUCAUGGACUGGGAGGUGAAGCGUCCCAAGCAAAGUCACAUUCCGAAUCUUGGGCCAGAAUUCACGUGGGAAAGUGAAGAUCAAAUGAACCAGAAGUACCCUCAUCUAUUCUAGCAUUCUCAAAUCUAACUUUCAAAAGAAUUUCGGGACGAAAUUCCCUCUAACAGGGGGAUGAUGUCACUACUAGGAAAUUCGAUGCCUUGUAAACAUUUAACAAUGAUAACAAAUGUGAACCAACAAUGUGAAAGCAUGUAGGAUGCUUAUUCAAUAACAAUAGAAUUUCAAUCAAACACUUCAUACAAGCACCGCAAAUAGUCAACAAAUAAUUGGAAACCCUAGAAAUCCCGCUUUAAGUCCAUUCUGGACUAGGAUUUCCUUAUUUGACCCAAUGGACCUAUAAGCUUCCAAUUUGACUAUAUUUGGCUUAGAACUCUUAAAUGGGCUCUAAUUGGACCCACUUUCAUUUCUUUUAACAUUUUGGGCCAUAUUGGGCCUAGAAUGAAAUAAAAUACUUAAAUGGACCUUAUUGAGCCAUUACUAACCUAAUUUAGCCCUAAUAGGUCAUAAAAAUCAUUUCUUGAUCUACUUUGGGCCAAAAGUUAUCUAAAUUAUCUAUAAUUUGGGCUUGAGAAUUUAAGGGCCCAAAUUCUUUCCUUUUCCCCCUUCAUUCUCGGCCCAAGCCCAAAAGAAAGGAAGGGUUGACUUUUUGCGUGCCACAUCAUUUUUGUUUGUGGGAUAACUAAGCAUUACACUUCAAACAUCCAUGCACUUCUCAUAUUUCCAUGCAUAUGACUCUCUCCUCUCCUAUCUCUUUUGGUCUCGGCCAAAGACACAAAGAAACACACACACCUUACAAAAAUUCUCUCUAAAUCACUUAAGACACAUCUGUUCUUCUUCAUCCAAAAAUCUCGAAUUUUGCUUGUGAUUCAAGAGGUUUUCAUCAAGUAGUUCACAUCUUUGGUAAGUUAUCUCUUUGAUUCAUAACACUAGGUGUGAGACCCGUGUGUUACACGGGUUGAUUAAAAAAAUUAAAUAUAAGGUGUAGAAAAUAGUAUUUUCUAAAGUAAAAUUUUGAAAUAAAUAUAAAUGAAAUGAUGAAUAAGUAAUGCAAUCUAUACUAAUAAAAAAAUAUUAUCAUGUUUUAAAUAAUCAUGUUGAAUAUGAAUGUGUAAAAAAUUAAGUAUUUUUUGAACUAAACUUUUGAAAUAAAAACAAUGAAUAGAAUAAACCACAAGGACCAUUUAUGUAAUUUGUCUUAAUUAAUCUAUACUAAUAAAACUAAUUAAUAUAAAUUCAUAAAUGGAAUUCAUUAAUAUAUUAAUAAAAAUAAGAAUUCACAAAUGGAAGGUUUACUAUAUACAUUAAUUCUCAUUAAUUAUUAUGAAGUGGCAUUUAAUAGGUGGAAGAUGAAUAAAAAUAAAAAAAGAGAAAUUAAAUAUCCUCCUACUUUUCUUCCUAAUUAUCUUCCUACCCAUUUGAAAUUAUGACAAGUGUCCUAAAAUAUCAUUAGUUUUUAUCUAAAUAUGACACUUGUCACAAUUUCUUGUGGGUAGGAAGAUAAGUAGGAAGAAAAGGUAGGAGGAUCCUUAAUAUCUCUAAAAAAAAUACAAAAAUGACAAGUGGAAAUUUUUUUUUAAAUUCUAAAAAGAUGACAUGUGUCAAAUUCAAUAAGAAGUUGACAUCUAGCAAAAUUAUCUUUAUUUAUUAGGGUAGAUAUCUUCUUCAUUUUACCAACAAUCUUCCUUAUCUCAUAGAAAACUUGUGAUCUUGCACCUUAGAAACAUCUAAGUUCGAGAUCCUCCAAGAAAGGUUGCUAGGAUCGAAUUCUUCUUCAUCUUUUCCUUCAAAAACUGAAACCACACUCAAGGUGAUCUUUAUACCCCUUUCUUUUUGGUUUUUAUGAGUUUUAUGGGGGGGGGGGGGGAAUACAAGAAAAUGUGUAGAUCUUUGUGUAUAUAUAUGCUAUGUGUGUUUUGAUGCAUGUAUGUGUGUGAUUUCAUGUGUUUUGUGAUGAAUAUGUUACCAAAAAGGGUGUAAACCCGAGAUCUAUGACAUGAGAAAGGAAACAAACAUAAACUAAGCUAUAUUACACUAAAAAAAUCAAGAAUAAUAGCUUAUAAUUUCAUGAUGAUCAUAUUCUAACAUAAAACCCAUGUUUGGGCUUAAAUUGACAAAAAUACAAAAUUUGGGGUACAAAUCAACAAGUCACGGUUUCUUGAAGGUUAAAAGGGUCAAAACAGUUUCUAUAAAUAUUUUCGUAAACAUUAGAAAUUUCAAAGGACCUAAAAUGUAAAUUUUUAGCUUAAUGGGCUAAUUUUGGGCUUUUCGGUCUAAUAAGCCCCAAAAUGCGAAAAAUGAUAAAUUUUAAGGGCUGAAGUGAAAUUUUCUAUAAAACAGGGGGUAAUUAGUAUGACAAAAUCAUUUUAUGGGUCAAAAAUGUUUUCCACUAUCAAAAGGGACCAAAAAUGUAAACUUUUCGGAUUUUAGGUCAAAACUGUAAAAGUUGUCGACAAAAUAAAUAACACAAAAGUGUCAAGAAAAGCGUUUUAAGGACUAAAAAUGAAAUUGUUUUAUAUGAGAGGACCAAAAGCGUUAUUUUAUGAAAGAAAGGUGGUGAAAAGGUCAAAUUCCAUUUUCAAACAAAUUAAAUUCAUUAAUACAAAAUACAAGAUCCACGGCUACCGAUGAAAUGGAAAACAAUUACACUCUCAAUAACAAAUAUCGUGACAAAACGAAUUGAUUCGAUCUCGAAUCAAUAACAAAACAAAAUCGUCAAACCAAAGCCAUUUGAAAGGCUUAAUUUAGUGGUUUGGUCUAGGCUUUACAAUGUAAUGAUAGGGGUGUGUUGGUAAUAUAUUUUUGUUGACUAGUUUACGGUUGUAAUGAGUUUACGGCCGUCAACACCUUAUGGCCGUAAACUCUUCUCGGUCAUGAGGUUUAUAAAUAGUGGGCUCGUGAGACGUUUAUAGUUGUUGAUGCCCUUAGAUUUCACGGCUCUUGUCAAGUUGUACCAGACGUUUAUUGCUAUAAAAUGUGUGCAAGUUUGCUUUGUUAUUUCUCUAUGUUUAUUAUUGCUUUGUGUGGUUGUAUUUGCUUUUGAUCUUUGGUAGGAUCCGUUAUUCGGACCUUACAAUUGGUAUCAGAGCAAAACCGAUGUCAAAGGCAUUCUACAAUCGAUUUUGGUGCAAGUUCGUGUUUCUUCUGCAAAAGGUUUUUUCGUUUCAUCAAGAAACUGAAAUAAUUGUGGUUUACGACCCAAGCUUACGGCCAUAAGCUCAAUAUAUGGCCGCAAUCCCGUGAAAGUUCUUGGACCGUGAACUGAUUUUUUUAACAGUAAACUGGAAUCGAAGACCGUGUUCGUCAAUCGUAAAAGCCUUGGACCGUGAAUCAAAAUUAAACUCUUCAAUUUUUGAACCAAAAAUCUUAAUCGACAAUUUAAAGUUUAUGGUCGCAAACUCUGAGUUUACGGCCGCAAACUCUUUUUUACAACAAACUUGUUUUUGCCAGUGAACUACAUUUUUAUUGCAGUACAUCACUUUGUGACAGUAAAUCGGAUUUUAUUUUAAUUUGAAUCUUAAUUAAUUUUAAUUAAUUCUCAAAAAUGGAAUCUCAAAGUCAAAACCAUUUUCAAGAGCUUUAUGCUGUCAUGGAUACCACUACGCGAAUUCCAAGGUUAAUGUCUGCUGAUGGGUUUCCCGAGUGGAAGUAUAUAAUAGAAAAGUACAUAAAGAUGAAAGAUUUCAAGAGAUGGAAAUUCAUCAUCAAGGAUCCGAUCAGAAUAACCACUACAGUUAUGGGGCAAGUGGUUGAUAAGAAGAUAGAAAACUACACCGAUAAAGACUUUGAGACUAUGGAAGAGCAGAAGAAGGCUUUGGCCAUUUUGACCAUGGCCCUGUCACCUAAUAUUGCUCAAGGGUUCAGAGAGUAUACGUCUGCUAAAGCUUUGUGGGAAGCCCUAAUUGAGGUGUAUGAAGGGAACGAAGACAUGCGAGAGAGUCGCCAGGACAUGAUGCGACAACGAUUCAAUAUGUUCAAUUAUGUACCUGGAGAGACUCUUGAAGUUCAGUUGCAGCGGUUCACAACUCUUAAUACAUAAAUGACUAUGGCAGGGAUCUUCUACACAAAGUCAGAGAUAAAUAAGAAGCUACUGAAUGCUCUCCCAAAAUCUUGGGACAUGAAUCUAGCAGUCAUUAAGAAGACUAAGGAUCUCAGCCGCCUCUCUCGCGCUGAGGUGAUGGCAGUCAUCAAAGCAUGUGAUAUUGAUGACAAGCAACAGGAAAUCAAUCAUGUGAACUCAUACUCAGCUGCGAAUCUUGGCAUCUCGACUAACAAUGCUCUUUCCUCUUUCUCUUUUUCUUCUGCAGGUUUAUCAUUUAAUACUCCACAAGCUUAGAUUCAGACACUCUCCCAUCCUUCAGCUUCCUCUGCAUCAUUCAUGGCCUAUUCAACGAACCAAUUGUUCGUGGCUACUCAAACUGCCUCAUCCUUAGAUGUGGCUUCUUCUUCAAGAGGAAAGGAGGGUGAUGAAAAUCUCGUUUUGGCAUCAGGGCUUGUCAAUUGUUACAAUGCACUUGUAGCCGGGGAGCUUCCACCUGAACUGUCAUUUUCCGAUCUUGAUCAGAUUCAUCCUGAAGAUGUUGAGGAGAUGAGUAUUACAUGGCAAAUUGCCAUGGCAGCCUUUAGGGCAAAACAAUUUGCCAAAAGGACUGGGCAAAACAACUGGGGGAUGAGUGCUGAUAAGAAGGUUGGAUUCAACAAGGGAAAGAUGCGAUGUUUCAAUUGCCACGAGCCAGGGCAUUUUGCUCGUGAUUUCCCACACCCAGACAUAAGAUUAAACAACGACAUGACAAUAGUUGCAGUUGGUAGCAGUCGAAGUGGUGCUCGGACAAACAAUGAGAAGGCUAUAGUUGCACAAUCGUUUGAUUCGGAGGAUCAGAUACAGACCCUAAUUCAACCAAGGUAUCCUCUUCUCAUGAACCUAAUUCAACCAAUGUAAGUCUACCCUCAUGCUCUCAAGCUUGUAUUGAUUAUAUUAAAACUUUGCACGAGAAAAAUGAGACAUUAGGAAGUGAACUAGAAAGCCUUAAGAUUCUUCAUAAGCUUAAUGAACAAAACGUUAAAAGACGCCGCAAGAACAAUGCUGUGUGAUUCAAAACUACCUGUUUUCUUUUGGGCCGAGGCGAUAAACACUGCCUGUUAUGUUCAUAAUUGAGUGUUAAUCAACAAAGGUUAGAUGAAAACCCCGUACAAAAUUUUCUAUGGUCACAAGCCAUCAGCUAGUCAUUUUUGUGUAUUUGGCUGUCCUUGCACCCUUCUUCACUUAGAUACCAACCCAAAUUUUAAUUCCAAGGCCGAUGACUGCUAUUUCGUAGGGUAUGCUGCUCGCACUUCCUAUAGAUUCUAUAAUAAGAAAACAAAACAAAUUGUGGAAUCUUAUGACAUGCGUUGGUUGGAAAAAAAUGAGACAGUCGCUAGAGUGGGUACGGAUUGGUUGUUUGAUUACACAUCGCUUUUCAAAUCCUUAAAUGUGUCUUCAAGUGAUGUAUAUAGACAUGUUUCUUAUUGGAAGAGUAUUUAUGAAGAUGAAGAUGGAGAAGUUAUCUACAAGCCUCUAUCUACAUCCUCUUAUUCAUCGAAUGGGAAGUCCAAAGUUACACUUGAGGGGGAAUCCUCUGGUUCACAUAAGGGAGGGUCCUCUGCUACACAUGAGGGGGGAGUCCUCCGCUACACUUGAGGGGGAGUCCUCUGGUUUACAUAAGGGAAGGUACUUUGCUACACCUGAGGGGGAGUCCUCCGCUACACCUGAGCGGAAGUCCUCCGCUACACCUGAGGGGUAGUCUUCUGCAACAUCUAAGGGGGAGUCCUCUGCUACACCUCAAGGGGAGUCGUCUAUGCAACAUCAUAGUCCUCAAUCUUCAGUCCAAACUGAUUCUCCAGAUGCUGAAACUACCUCAUAUGUCAAUAGAGAAAGAGUUAUUCCCUACUGAUGCUUCCGUGGUCGCUUCAACUUUUAUGGAACUACUCUUUCCUGAACUUAUCUUAGAUGAGUUUGUAAGAGAGCCGUCUGGAGCGGCUCAAUCAGAAAAUGAAGGAGGUAUCAAUAUUCACACUCUUACUUUGUCUCUCAAUGACAUCAGCCAAGAAAUACCUUCAAGGAUUCAACACGAUCAUCCGAUCGAUAACGUCAUUGGUCAGCUAGGUGAUGGUGUUAAAACGAGAAGUCAGAGUGGAGACGUUAAUGCUUGUCUUUAUUCUUGAUUUAUUUCUCAAAUAGCGCCCAAGAAUGUUGAAAUGGCUCUAAAUGAACCUAGUUGGGUAGAUGCAAUGCAUGAGGAAUUGCACCAAUUUGAAAAACUCGGUGUUUGGAAGUUAGUUGAGUUGCCAAAGGGCAAGAAGUCUCUUGACACACGAUGGGUUUAUCGCAAUAAGCAGGAUGAUUCGAUUGGUGGUUCAUGGGUUUCAAAAAGUAACGGUCUUGAUUACACUGAAGUUUAUGCUCCAGUAGCUCGCCUGGAGGCUAUUCGUAUCUUCCUAGCAUAUGCUUCUUACAUAAACUUUACCGUUUACCAAAUGGACGUCAAAACCGCCUUCUUGUAUGGCAAGGUGAAAGAAGAAAUCUACGUUGAUCAACCCCCUGGGUUUGUUGAUUCGAAGUUUCCAAAUCAUGUCUAUAAGUUGGAUAAGGCAUUGUAUGGGUUACAUCAAGCUGUUAGAGCAUGGUAUGAAACCCUAACAAAGCACUUGCUCGAAAAUGGUUACUCUCGUGGCACUAUCGAUCAGACCUUGUUUAUCAAGCACUUCGAAAAGGACCAGGUACUCGUACAAAUCUAUGUCGACGACAUUAUCUUUGGGUCAACUAGUCCGCAGCUUUUCAAAGAAUUCGAAGGUGUAAUGAAGAAACGGUUCGAAAUGAGUUCGUUGGGAGAAAUGACCAUGUUUUUGGGGCUUCAGGUUAAACAGAAUUCAACCGGAAUCCUGCUACAUCAAACCAAAUAUAUGGAGGAUAUUCUUCAGAAGUUCGAGUUUCACGAUGCUAAAUUUGCUUCUACACCGAUGGCUAAACGACCUCUUCUGACUCCAGAUCCUGAAGGUCAAUCCGUAGAUCAGACUCACUAUCAAUUGAUGAUCGGAUCGCUGAUGUAUCUUACUACAAGCCGACCUGACAUCAUGUUUGCAUUUUGUCAAUGCGCACGUUAUCAGGUUAAUCAAAAACUUUGACAUCUUAUUGCUGUCAAAAGAAUUUUUUGGUAUAUCAAAGGGAGCCCAAAAUUGGGUCUUUGGUAUCCGAAGAAUUUUGAAUUUGAUCUUUAUGCUUUUAGUGACAAUAAUUAUGGAGGCCGUGAGCUUGACAGGAAAUCAACCUCAGGAGGAUGUCAGUACCUAGGUGACAGACUAGUUUUGUGGCAAUGCAAGAAGCAACACACUGUCUCAACUUCCACAUCAGAGGCGGAAUAUGUUGCUGCAUCACCUUGCUGCUCUCAAGUUAUCUGGAUCCAACAUCAGUUGUUGAACUACGGUUUGAACUAUUUUGAAACCCCCAUUUAUUGUGAUAAUGAAGCUGCCAUUCAUAUUGCCAAAAACCCAGUCCGACACUCUAAAACCAAUCACAUCGACAUUAAAAUUCAAUUUAUCAGAGACUGUUAUGAACGAUCGCUAAUCCGGCUGGAACAGGUCCACACUGAUAAUAAUGUGGAGGACCUAUUUACAAAAUAUCACACCCCAAAACCAAGAAUGGCGGAAAUGUUCUGGGGCGGAGGACGUCAUGUACAGUAUCACAACAAUGUAAAGUAGUAAACAAGCAACAACAUCAUCCAUUGCAUUAAUAAUAUAAUUAUAAACACUAAAGCAUAAAUCAAAAUGAAAGAUGAGUCUUGAACAAGCUCCAUCUUCCCUAGUCCUUGCAUCGGUACCUGUCUAUGAUGACCUGAUUAUACAAGUAAUUUUGAAAGCGAGUAUCAAUUUUGAAGCUAGUGAGAUCAUAAGUAUUUUAGUGUCUUAAUAUGUAUGUAAGAAUUUGUAUGUAAGAAUUUGUAAGCAUUGAAAAUGUAUGUAAAUCGUAAGUAUUGAAAAUGUAUGCAAAAAACAAUUGUAAACGUUUGAAAAACUCUAGAAAUCCCUAUGAUUCCAACUAUUAUAACAGGGAGUCUUCUACCAAGACUUAACUGAUCUGUAUGUAGCCUUCUACCAAGGCAUCUAGUGUCUGUGUGUGUCUUUAGUAAGAAUGUGUAUUUUCCCAAGUCUGACUAUCAUUAACCAAAAAUAUAGUUUCUACAUUACCGUGCGUGGUGUGAAUGUUCACGAAGGGAAUGUAAUGGGAAAAGAAAUAGUGCUAUGGUGUAGUGUCGAACUACAACCGUACCUAUUACCUUAAAUCUAGGGUAAUACUUCCAAGUAAUGUAGUAUUUGAUAUGAAUAACUACAUCGGUACUCAAUUGCCUUAUUUGAGGGAUAAGGUAUAAUGUGAUGUCUAGAUCCCAGACUAUACGCUCCCCUAUCAAAGGGUUUUUGGGACCUACCCACGACCACUGCAUCUAUGCAAGCUGUGAGCAUCCACAUUACUAUGAUCAUGUAUACUUGAUAUAACUAUCACAAUUGCGUUGUGAUUCAUCAGUAUAGUUAGAUCCUGAACUGGCUCCGUGCUAUAGCACCUAGUGACGUCUGUUCUAAGUAUAUGUAAGCGUACACAUAUAAGUGUGAUCAUGUAAUUGUACUUAUGUAAGUGUGAUCAUGUAAUAGUAUAGUAGUGUACUGUAAUGUUCUACAUGUGCUAGCUGUAAUGUCUGUUCUCUCUCUAUCUAGCAUGUAUAGUAAUGUACUGUAAUGUUCUAGCUGUAAUGUAUGCUCUCUCUAUCUAGCAAGUAUAGUAAUGUAUAGUAAUGAUCUUGAAAGUAUUGACUCAUGAAUGAACUGACUCAUUGUAUGAUAUUGCGUUCUAGUAAUAGUUCUAGUAUCUUCCUAAACUACCCAUAUGGUAGUUUACUAUUAAUCUAACUGGUAGAUAUGGACAUGGAUGUAUACCUUUGCUACCCAAGGGCAUGGGAUGAACUGGAAGGACCUUUUAUGACUAUAUAUGUACACAUCAUAUAUAACUAAUAUUUAAACGACCUUCGGACGAGUACCCAAUAUUCUAUCAGCCCACAUCCAAAUCGAGAAAAAGGACACAAGAUGGAUAGCCUUCCUAAGUCUUUUAAACAUUACUUAUAUAACCAUACAUAUAGAGGCAUGCAAUUUAUAAUAUAAAAGCAUAAAAUAAGUUUUGUAAAACCUUUGAACAUAAUUAUUAUCUAAGAAAAGAUCGACUUGAUGUCAAUCUAUAAAACAGUUUGAAGGCAUGGGUUUGAUGAAACAGUUUAGUAUAAAGAAACAUUUGUUUGAAACACAAUUGUAAAUAAGUUCGAAAUGUAAUAUACAGAGUAAAAUGUACAGUGUAAUAAGGAGUUUUAAAACAUAUAAAAUGUUUAUGAAAAUCAUUUGAAGGAAACUGUCUGGUAAAACGGCUAAUGAGUAUUAAAUCAUAUAAAUGCUGCUUAUUUAUCACAUGUGAUUGAUAUAAUAAGUAGCAUGAUUCUACUUGUAUCCCCCCCAUAAAGCAUUUAAAAAUAGUAAAACAUUGAUUAAGGGGUAUGAAGUCACCUGCAGUAAGUGGCUGGAAUUGAACGGACNACUGUUAUCGUAAGGAAGGAUCGGACAAGUGCUUGGUGUCAAGUGAAGACUUUAGACACACACAAUGAUCCUAAUUACAUAUGAAGACAUAUGUAUUUAAAUAAUUAGUGAUUAAAACACUAAUUAUACAAGUAUAAACAUUUAAACGCGAGGAAAACACUUUUGGUCAAGUGCUAGGAGGCUAAUGGGUUGCAACAAAGGAGUGCAAUGCCCCUAAUGGGAGUUUAUGGUCAAAUAACCAUAUGCUUUGGAUUUUACGGCCUAGGGGAGUAAACUGCUAGCCGUAAACUCUCAACUAGGUCUCUAAUCGAAGCUUAGAAUUAAUACAACUCAAGUGGUGAAGGGCUUCUAGUCUUAACCAAGUGUUUGGGACUCUUUUUAACUCCAUUUAGGAGUUCACGGCAUUGGGACCAUAUUCCCUUGGAGUUUACGGCCGUAAACUCCCUUGGGAGGGUGUUUNGCACAAGUGGUAUAAGUUCUAGGCUUUUAUUCCAAACAUAUGAAGACUCUUGACACACUUUGGUGCCCCAUUAAUGAGUUUACGGCCCAUGAACCAUGUCAUGGCCGUAAACUCACUUUGCAAGGUGAUUUCUAUGUGUUUAAGGCCCUUGUUUUUAUGGGAACAAGUCUAUGUAAAAUUCUAAGGCCUUAGGUGCCUUAAAAGCACCAUUUUGAGCAUGCUUUUUGGAGUUUACGACUUAAGAUACUCUUGGGCCGUGAACUCCCAAACUUGGGUGAUUCUUGCUUGAUUUCAUGUCCUUAAUACACUCCUAUAAAAGUCCCAGGCAGUAGUAUAUCACGGGGGACAAUCUAGGCUUGGUUUCUGGAGUUUACCGCCCAAGAACACCUUGGGGAGUAAACUCCUAAAUCGAAUGAUUUAGCUAUGUAAUCUAUGUUAUGAACACAUUUAAAGCUUUCUAACACUACUAGAAAGGGUUACUCACAAUUUGGGAUAAAAACCCGAAGAUCCGUGAGAGAGAAUUUUGGCUUUUCUAUAAUUGGAAAUGUAACUAAUGAACUAUUUGGUUCAGUUUUCUAUAUAUAGUCCUGGGGUUUUUGGCAAAAAAUAUUUUUAUUCCUGGAAUGAACUCUAAUAUCCUAGAGUAUUGGAAUAACAGUGUUGCACAAAACACUAGUGCAUCCACUCUCCUAAUAUCUCCUUAAGCGUCAAUCCUGAAAAACUAGCAAACUUAUACUCGAAGUCUGAAUUUUCAUUGCAACUGUUCUAACUUCUAUUGCAUUGAUAUGGUUUGUUCAGAAUGGAAAUUUCGGGUUGUCACAUCAUCCCCCUGUUAAAGGAAAUUUCGUCCCGAAAUUAGAACCUAGAUAAGGAAGUAGGUACGAAUGAUUGAGUCGUGAGAAGAAAAUUUCUUAAUCGAUUGGUUCUAGCACACCUAAGUGAAAUCGGGUACUCGGUUGGCAUCCCAACGAACCUUCACUAACGGGCAAUGGCGUUGCUUCCUCCGCUUGACCUCUCGGUCGAGGGUCGCUACGGUUCUAAUACGAAGGCGAGGAUCUCGACGAGUGGACUUACAAUAAUCCUAACGGAAAGGUAUGGUUUCAUGAUUGAGAUGCUAAGAGUAAUAUGUAUGUUACUGAGUUCACGGAGUAGGUCUAGUUUGCGAGAUACAUGACUGAUUCUGGUAAGAAUCUUGGAGGUCUUGUCUAUCUUGGAUUUAGCUUUGCACGCUUUACGAAGCGUAUUAAGCCGUUCCUGAGUGAGACUUCCUAAAGGAUUUGGUCUCUCACUUGGAAUCUCCAAAGGUUCUUUCUCUUGCUUAACUUCCCAGUCAAGGGUCACUCCUGGCUGGGUCAAGGUCGUAUGGUUUCCUGUGAUUUACGAGGGUUUCUGGAUGAACUAUGAGAGUAGGUCUGUAAGACCUAGAAUUUAGCGAAAGACAUGUCGGCGUCUCUGGUGUCGACAAAUUCUCAACGGUUUUGACAAAUUGAAAGAGUACUCAAAAUUUCCCACAUUACUAACAGUGUGUCAUAGAAAUUUGACUCUUCAAUUUCAAAACUCAUGCCUAGAGAACUUUGCUAAAAGUUCCUCUGUAGGAAAUGUUUCCAUGGGUUUUGUUCUUACUACGAGGAUAGAUAAGUAAGUCAUUACAUGGAGAAAUGACGAACUGAUCCAUGUAAGAAAGAUGUACCCUAUUCGUUUAGCUCAUGAAAGCUAUGGGCGUAUUGGUCCUAUCCGAAGGGUAUCACUACGGACUCGAAGUGCUCGCAUCGAGUUCGGAAGAUAGUCAUAGGUAAGAUAUGCCUACCUUAUUUUAAAUAUAGCUUUUAUUUAAAUAUAGUAAUGUUAUUAGGACCUUAUAAUAAAUAUUUGGGCUAUUAUUAUGAGUUACAUAAGUGUUGUUAUAAUGCCUUUUUAACUACUCGCAGUACGGGGAAUCCGGUUUGAAGGGCCGCUUGGGUUGUUGGAUUUUAGAACGGCUUAAAUGCUAAAAUAAGUAUUGUUUAACUCUAAUAUAAUAAUAAUAAUAAUAAUAAUAAUAAUAAUAAUAAGAAGAAGAAGAAGAAGAAGAAGAAGAAGACUAAUAAUUAGUUACGUGUUAUGUGUGCAUGUUAUCUGUAUACUUGUUAUCUAUAUCGGAUGAACACUAUUAGACAUGUUUUAAAUGAUUUCAACUGUAUACGUAUUUAAUACUUAUAGAUUACAAUGGGUAAAGAUGGGUGGAUGAAAGAUGAGUUGGAUGAUGAGAUGAAAGGUGAUAUAAAUCAUGAUAUAAAGGUGAGAGGUGAAAAUGAGAAAAGCCAUUACCCAAGCGUUGGCCCUGUCAUUUAGCAGAAUAUAGAUGACAACCACGGACUAUUCCAGACGGUCCGGUGGAACACUCGCAGGCUCGCAAGCUGUAGAUGCUUUUGAACGAUGUAUUCACCCAUUGUACUCUAAAAACCCAUUGACAUGUAUUACAAGUGGACUCCCUAAAAUAAUAUUGUUAAUAAACGAGAUAAACCCUAGCAUCUAUGGACUUAGUGACUGUUGUAGAAACACUUGCCAUUAUGGACUUAGUGCCUACUAUAUAAACCCUUGUGACUAUGGAAUUAGCGCCUGUUGUAUAAACCAUGGCGACGAUGGACUUUUUAACUAUUCCUUAGAAUAAUCCUUAGGAAUGAAUGAACGAAGAAUAGUUGAUUCUUACGAUAGAUCCUUAAGAGUAAAAAAGAUAAUGGGGAUGGAUAAUUGGGUUGAUUGUUUGAUGUUUAAACAUAAUAACUAUAUUAUUGUGGGUUGAAAACUCUAUGUACUCACCAGGUAUAUCAACCUGAACCACUCAGUUUAUUUGUAUCACAGGUGUCGAUACGAAGCCACAUUACACUGAGAGACUAAGGAUAUUGAGAUCACUAGUGUAUAUGAAAGUAAUGUUUGUUUAUGAUUAUUUUUUAGUAUUGACGAUCACAUCCCAAUGUUUUAAAAAGGAAUAAAAUAAAUUUCUUCGGAAAUGCUUUGAUAUUAUAUUUAUAAUGUUUUUCUAGGAAUAAAUUCCACAACAUAUUUCUUUAAAAGAUACUCUGAUUUUCAAAAUAAAGCAUAAACAAAUCGGUCUUUUAUUACUGUGAAAAUGUGGAUGUCACGGUUGAUAUCAGAUCAUUAGUUUAAGCGAACUAGGAAUUUUAGGAAAUACUUGUAGAGAACACAUGUUUCCGUGAACAUAACACCAUGGUAAAGACUUCUAGAGAAUUGAGUAAAAGGAGUAAAUGAAAAGGCUUAUGAUAGUGAAUAAAAACUAUUGGAAGAUACCGUAAUUGUGGUAUCUUGCCUUUAGAAUACGUCAGGUAAAAUAACAGUACGUUUAGAGGUGUAGUACGUCCGAAAUACACCUUCGAUUGGCAGGAUGAUGGAACGAUUGGUGUAAUUACUGAAGUUGUCCUAUCAUAUGAUGUUUCCACCACCAACCGUGUUGAAGCAUAAUUGAUGAUUUAAGAUACGGAUGGAAUAAGUCCUAGUAGAGUCUAGGGAAAAUUUUAUGAUUUUUUGGCCAUAUUUGUAUGUGUUAAAAUUUUUUUUAUGAUAAUAACUUGGAGAACUAUGAGACAGUAUUUCGGACGAGUAUGAGUAGGUGUGAAUGGCAGUAGAGGCCUAUACUACCGGAAGCACAUGACUCGCACUUGAAUUAAGGAAAGUCACAAGCUUACUAAGAAACUAGUAACUGAUUCUAUUUUUUUCAUCCGUGUCGUUACCAUCCUUUCUGUACUGACUGAUAGUUGUUAUUCUGACCCUAGUGAUCAUAUCAUAUCGAUUCCGACUAAGAUGAGAAUGUUACGUGGUUUAGACAACCAAGUUUGAUGUAGCAUCCGACAUAAGCCAGAAGAUUGAAGUGAAAGAUAAUCAAAGCGGUUGUGAUCGUUGUUAAAGUAAUAAACUUGUAGCUACAAAUGAUACAUGCUAAAAGGUGAUUACAUCACAUUAGAACAUGAGGGAAGGUAUAUUCCAUUCUAGAAUUUGACUCUAAGAUACCUGAGUCUAAGUGUUCCAGCAUACGAUGAGAGGUCAUUAGAACAUGGCUUAUCGGUCUGUCAUGAUUAUCAAAAUAAAGAACUUCUCUUAAGUAAAGUUUGUUGAAAAAGGAGCAAGAGUCUCCAAUAAGUAUUGUGUUUGUAACUCAAAGGUUACAACAUAGUAUGAAGAGCAGGUGCGAGAUCGAGCACCGUAUGUAGCAAGAAAUCCAAGAGAUAGAUAUUCAUUUGAAGGAACAUAGAACUUACAAUUAUUAUCUAGGAUGAAGAGAUAAUGUAUGGAGUCAUUAUACAAGCCCUGUUUUAUUGAUCAUUUUGGGACAUAAUCAUCCUAAGCGGGAGAUAAAUGUAACACCCGUAAAAUCAGACUUGUCAAUUAAAAGACAAUAAGCAUCAAAAAUGAAAUUUUGAUGGAAUAUGAUUUAGAAUGAAUAAUCUUAACCAAGUUAUCAUAUAUGCCACAACGGUCUUUGCAUAUAAAGAAUGCCGAAAUCCAAAUUACAACGAUGAAGUUAUUGCCAGUCGAAGUUUUACGACAAAACCGGCACAUCACCGCUUAUCGUAAACGUGAAUUUUUGAUAAAAUACUUUUUAGCCUUAGAGAUCUAACUUAAAGUUGUAGUUUACGUUAAACCAAGAGCAUGCAUAAAAAGAUCGCCAAAAUCUGACUUCAUAUGAGGAAGUUAUGAUUUUUCUAAGAUUUAUGCAUAGUAGUGCACAAUCUGGAAUUCGAAUUUUAGAUCAAUCAAUUUUUGGCCAACGUAACGUAAAUGAUAAUUGAAGAUCUCAUUAAUAGGAGCUCAACGAUAAAAAGACGGACCAAAACAGAGUCCGCAUGUAGAAGUGAUGAAUUUUAUGCAGUCAUUUGAUAGUGUAAUCUUCUCGUACUGUUAAAAUUAAAAUUGGUCGGGAAUUAGCCGAUGGAGUCAAAUGGGAAGUCGUAGAUCUUGUCAUUACCUACAUGUGGAUAUAAAAACGGCAAAAAAGAAGUUCGUAUGUGAAAGUUAUGAAUUUUUAAAGAUUUGUUGUUUUACCUGCUUCUGACGCCACUUGUGAGCACCAGGCGAAGCCUUGGAGCCUAUGCAAGGCUACGACAUGAAUUUUGAGUUCACAACGUGGAGCUCCCCCAGAAAACCUUUAGAUAGAGGCGUACAUCACUCCCAAAACUCACACCUUCACCCUUCUUUCUCUCUCAAUACUCCAAACAUCUCCUUCCCAAUCCGUAGCAACUUCCAAGUGCUAGAGGCGAGUCCCGGAGCACCCGACGACUCUGAGAAGAAGAGCUUUCGGCACGGAAUGUCUGCCUCUGCAGAGCCCGGCUCCUACCCAAACCCCCUCGUAGGAACUGCUAACUACUUCACAUAAUGGGGAACCCUAGGCUAGCGGGCAUCAUGUAAUCAGGCAACUCUAUCAUGCAAUUCCUGAAGAUCCCUAGCCUAGUACUAGUAUGUUGUUCUAACAUAUCACAUAAUCAAGUAACUUUGUAUGGUAUUUUCGGGUCUACUUACUGGCUCUGGCUGAUCAUACCUCCGCAUCCUCCUUUACUUAUUUUGAAAACCAUUUUAAUUCUCUUUUUGAAAACUCUCCUUGAUUUGAGACUGGAUUCACACGAAUGUUCCUCCAAUUCACUCAAACCAAGGCUCUGAUACCAACUUGUAACACCAUGAAAAUUACAACUAAUUUAAACUUUUCAAAAACAACCAUAUUCAUUAAGUUAUUACAAUGUAUUUAUGAUGUUUUUCUAGAAACAAAUUCUGCAACAUAUUUCUUUAAAAGAUACUCUAAUUUUCAAAAUAAAGCAUAAACAAAUCUGUCUUUUAUGGCCAUGAAAAUGGGGAUGGCACACCAACAACCCCUAGUGCAAUCCAAAUAUGAGCUAAGGACCGAGGAGAGAAUGCCAAACUCAUACUGAGGGCUCAUUUGUAUUCCAGAUAUGAGCUAAGGUCUGGCUAGGGCAUGCUAGACUCAUAAUGAUGGCUUAGUAGCAUUUCAGAUACAAGUUUAGGCCCGAUUGGUAUGCCAGACUUGUACUAAGGUUUAACCAUUUCUGUUCCAGUCUAAUGAUUGAUUGGGCUUGGGAUCAAGCCAGACAUAAGUUGUGGCCCUCGAUGGCAAGCCAGACAUAUGUUGUGGGCUCUAGAGUAAACCAUAUAUAAGUUGUGGGCCAGAUAGGCAAGCCAGACUCAUAUUGUCAGCUCAGUGGUAAUCCAGUCUUUUAGCUAUGGACCCAUUGCAUGUUGUUAUUGUAUAUGUGUUAAUUGUUUGUACGGGCAAUUUGGGAGAAGUCACUAAGCUUCGUGCUUACAGUUUUGACUUAUUGUUUCAGGUACGUUAAUGGAUCGUGGCAAGGUGAAGGCGUGACCGUACAUAUCCUUGUGUUUUUGGGACUUAUGAUUUCUGACAAACUCUGAUAAUGAAAAUGUUUUAAAUACUAUGUUGUAAAUGAUACCAAUUUUUAAUUAAUGUUUUGGGGACAAUGGUUCAUGUAAUUCCCUCUUUAGUAAAUGGGUUGUUUUAAAAAGUUAAAAUUUGUUGAAUUUUUUUUUGUUACAGGUUGGUAUCAGAGCCUUGGUUUGAGUGAAUUCGAGGAACAGUCGUGUUAAUCCAGUCUCAAAUUAAGGAAAAAUAUUUCAAAAUGGUUUUCAAAAUGAUCAAGGACGAUGUGAUGUGUAUGAUCAGUCGGAGCUGGUAAGUAGACACUAAAUUGCUACAUAGUUAUUUGAUAUUGUGAUAUGUUAGAACUGAUAGGUUUUGAGCAUUCUAACACUUCGUAAGUGUACAUGCAACCCUAAUAACCUUGGAUCUAUGUUUGUCUAAUUAUCAUGCAAAGUUGAAUUCCAAGGUUAUAUUCCUAUGUAGCAUACAUGGGGAACAAUUUCUAACUUGAAUGAAAGAUAGAAUAACUUACCUUGUUGUUGCUUAUAUUCCUUGAAACCUUGUGAGCCUAGCACCCCAAGUGUGAUGCCUCAAAUGCUUCACACAACACCAAAUGCUCUUGGGAAGACUUUUUGAGAGAAUACACAUUUUUUGAAAUCGGCCUAGCCCUCUUGUGUCAUGACUCUUCAUUUCCGUGACCCAUGGGUUUGUAACUCCCAUGGAGCAUCCUAUGGGUGGAACCCAACAUGAUUAUCCAUGGAGCCUCUUAGCCCAUUAUACAAGAUAUGAAUGAUUUACAUAAUCAAACCAUAUAUUUAAUUAGUUAUCUUUUGAUCACUUAAUUAAUUCAAAAUUAAUUCUUUGAUCAAACUAAUCAAAUGAUAAUAUUAAUAUAUUAGAACUUAUAAUAUAUUAAUAGUCUCCAAGUGUUAUUUCUCUCAUUUAGUUUAUCCAAUUGCAUGGUGCCAAGCAACCCAAAUGGACCAUGCCGGGUCGGGUCAAGUACUGACCAGAAAUAGUUAUGGACUUAGACACCUUAUCCAACAGUCUCCCACUUGGAUAAGUCUAAUAACUAUAACUCCAGUACUUCAGGAACCGACCGAAAAUCGUAGCUCUUUCAAGGUCUCUCGGAACUGAGAAGAUGUUGAUACGCCAUUUAAGAUAAGUGAUCAUAUAAUCCUUUGUUCUAGAUAUCAGCCGGACAAAUACAUGGAACAAUGUCUUACUUAUUGUCCAGGAGUUUGUUUCUCGAUUUCCGAUUUGUUUGGCAAAGAGCUUUAAUUGAACACAUCAACUUAGUUCUGACCGGGCCCAGUACAUAGGUCAAAACAAAAUCAUCGAGGGGCCCAAAUAUCAGCUUCUAAUCCAAGAAGGAACAGAUAAACUUCGACUCAUAUGUUUGUUCUACCACUCAUUGAAUUACACACAAAAGCACGUUUUAUAACAUCGAGUUACCAAUGUGUUUUCGUACAAUCAAUGCAUAACCAACUUGUAAGUAACAAAUCAUAUCUCUAGGUUUGAAGACUUAUAUGAUAUUACCGUCUCACGAUCACUCGAGAUAGAAUUCCAUGAAGUGAUUCCAGUGAGCGUGGGUUGAGUCCAAUGCUCAGAACUUAUGAGCACUCAUGAUUGUUGUAGCCUUGUCCAACACCUUAGACCUCUACAACCAAUCAUGACAGUCUUGAUUCAUACCUACUUCCGACAUAUGACCGACUGUGGAGGUUUGAAUAAUAUGUUAUACCAAACAAAAUUAUUCUGGAAGUCAAAACAUGCAAAAG